GCAGAGUUAGAGUAACAACUGAUAUAGGUUGAGUUAAAAGAUUGUGGAAAUUAUGUACGUAAACAAGGUAACAAAUCUAGCUUAUGAUUUUAAAAGGUGCAGCAUCACUCUAUUUGAAAGAAACAAUCACUAGAUUUCCUUUCCAGUUAGUUAAAUACCUAACCAAAUGCAAGGUUACUUAAAAAAUGAAGAGUGAUGCUGCAAGGUUGAGUUAAAAAACGAAGUCAACUAUACUUUUCUUGGCCAUUUUGCCUGCAAAGCUAUUGACAUCCAUAUGGAAUGGAAUCUAAUAAAAUUUUGUUACUAAUGUAUCCAGGGGAAAAUAUUUUUUAAUACAAAGCAGGAUAGAUUAUUAUACAUGUGGUGAUCAUUACACAAAGACCACAUAUCCCAGUUUGAAGUCUUUUCUCUAUAAAUUUUAAACAUCACCACAAUCACCAUAAAAUAUGAUGAAUUUGAGUAUUCGUCAUCCAAGUACAAAUGUUGCAAUCCAGUUAAAGCAGCUCAGAUCCUCAAUUAAAAUGUCCAUGUAAUUCUGAAAGAAAUAAAUAGCCUUGAGACAGGUACAAUGAUCAACCUGGUAAAACAAGUGCUGCCUUAUUAUCGCAGGCAUCACAUGCAGUUGAUUACCAAAUCAAACAUUUGAUUCAUUAGUAGAACAGUACUCUCAUUUAUAUAGUUUCCUUCUCUACAUUAUGCCAAAGCAUGACCUGCUAUGAUACAAUAAUUCCAAAGCUACACUCCUACUCCACAAACCAACACUUCCUUGUGACUCCAUGCAGAUUCCCUAGGUCAAAAAGCCCACCACUGUUAAUGUAGAACUCAUACGACAACUAUCUAACUUGCCAUGAUCGACAUACCAAGUUGUAAAUAAGCACUUAAAUUCAUAGAAUCCAUCAGUCAAAAGCUUUGAUAUCCUAAUGAGGUAAAAUCGGGAUGCUAUAAGCCCAGACAUUACCAUGAGAGGAAAAUACAUGUUUUUCUGUCCUAAUUUGUCCAGCCUUAGGUUAUCAGGACCUUCACAUGGCAAGAGCUACACAUCAAAAGUUCACCUUAUUUUUCACUUUCACCCUGACAUACCCAAAACUGGACAAAAAUGUAAAGUAUACUUGGCUCAAAAUUGGCAGUAUUAGCUUUUUCAUACUGUAUGAUGCCUAUGUCAUGUGACUUAAUUAGGGUUGGAAUUGACUAGCUCAUGAUUGGUUACAGGAUGUCAAGAUUCAGCAACUAGUUACAGCAUUGAAUUAGGAAAGAAGUGCAUGCAUUUGUCUCACUAAAUAAGGAAAACCAACAGAAACCACUACAUGGGUCAGACCUCUAUGAUCAAGAGACAGAGAUCUUUAUCAUUCAUAUGAUGCAUGAAGCCCAGAUGGCAAUAGAAAAAGACUUCUAUUACAAAUCAAUUCACUGGCCAAUUAAUGCAAACAGCAAUUUAGAAAAUAUAUCUUUCAAUGAAUAAAGGGGCUAGAAAAGAACAGGGACUAGACCUUGCUGGGAUGAACGUUGUCAAAGACAUGUGCUUGACCGCCAUAGAAAAUAGUCAUCUGACAUCCAGAAGAACAAAUCCGUGUUGGCUACACAAAUAAACAUUAUGUGUCAUCAACUAUUAUUGCAGGAAGAAAAAAUAGACAAGGCAUACAGAAACAAUAAGUUUUUACGAAAUAUUACUUUGGAGUUGUAGAGGAUUCUGGUUCAGAAUUGUGAAUCCCGGACUUCAGCUUACUACUGCUGACUAUUGCCCCAGUAAAAUUUCUUUCGGAGAUUCCACCAGUUGUGUUAAUAGAGCUCAGAAGUCCAGAUCCUUUAAUACCAGUCCUAGAUCCUUCAUCAGCAGCUCCUUGAGAUAUAACUGAUGGACCAACACUGGAGUCUCUCAAUUUGUUUGAUAGUCCUUGGUAGCCAAAAGGAAAAACUUGACUGGAACGUGGUGGAUACUGCCAAGGCGGACCAACAUUCAUUGGAAUACCACGAUCCAAUCUUGAAGUAUUACCUUCAACUCUGGCAGCAGAGGAAGGCUGUGAUACAAGGGAAGCUGAAAUUGGCCGGACUAAAUGCAUAGGAAACGACGCAUCCUCAUCCUGUGGACGUCUUGGUCUCUCUCCACCAGCAUGUCGUAUUAGCUGAACUUCAAACCAAAUGGACAGUAUUAGAGCAAAUGGCAGACAUCUUACAUAGUAUAUAUUCAGCCAAUGCUAAGAUAGACGAAGUUUUGUUUAUGAACAAUGAAAAGAGAAGAAUGAUGGGCUAGAAGAAGUAUCCUACCUUCAUCAACUGUGAGCCUUCACGAGAAUCUGGUACCAUUUGUGGAAAUCUAUCUUUUGUUGUUCCAAUAUACGUGUCUGAGUUACUUCUCUUAGUUCCAGAAAAUCUACUACUUGUUUCAUGCCCAAUAAGAUCACUUCUCGCUCCAUAGAACGGAACUCCUUCAAAAUGAUUUCCACCUUGUCGUUCUACCAUAGUUGAUGAAAGAAUGAUCAAACAAUAAAUAAUCCCAAAACUCCAAAAAACUUUCCACUAAGUCAUGCACAUGGCAUUGUCAUUAUUAAAGUAAAAUUCGAAUCUCAAUCACCUAUAGAGUUACCAUGCAUUUUCAUUGCUUAAAGUUACCAAUUGGCACAAAAAUCAAUAACUUGUGCAUCUUGGAAUGGACAGAAAGCUAAUAGGAUAACCCAUGAAAACUAGACAUCACCGAUACAAAAGAAAAAAGUCACUGCAUCAUACAUGCAAGAAAUAGCUAAAUAAUCCACGCACUAGCUGUGAGUUCUCUAAACCUACUUAAUCAAUGAAUGACCUAAGACAAACUACUCCAUCAUGAGAACAAAGGCCACAACCAACCCACUAUAGAUGAUGCCAAGAAAGACAUAAACAAUUCCAAGUUUGUUAUCCAGUAAAGGGAAGGAUCACAAAAUUAGCAACCAAAAAAAUAAAAAAUCAUAAGUACCCCAGAAAGUUGAGGCAAGUACAAGAGCUAAGUGCAUCAGCUACCUUCAAAACUUUACCAAUGAAGGAAAUAGAAGAAUCCAGUUCUGUCUAUUUUAUCAUGAAUAGUUACAACCAUUCCAUAGUCAUUCAAAAGGCACACAAAAAUUAGGUAAAGAAACAGAACCGGAAGAGAAAAAUCAAGAAUUCUUACAAUAACAUAAUGACAAUGGGUAUCAUAAAAAAUUUGAAAAAGAGCCAAAACAAGGAAAAAAGGCGAGAAAAGAAGCAAACUUUGAGAAUUAUAACUGACAACUCAAGUCUCACCAGAACCCAGAUCAGAAGUUGUGGAGAUUGGAGCACGGCCACCAGAAGAGCCACCAAUGGAGACAGAAGCUGAUGAAGGAGAGGCCUCGGAUGUUGGCCGGACUCUGCCGGCUGCCACCCCACCUGCCGGAGAUAAAUAAUCUGGAGCAGACCCUUUGCCCAAAAAAUCAUGAAAAAUGGUUCCAGAAGCCUUAACUUCAUCCGCACCACUAGUACUAAUAGCAGCAGCAGCACCCGCAGAACUACUGUUAUUUUGAGUAUGAGCCAUAAAUGGUUAAAUACAUAACAAUUAUUAAAUUCAGCUGGAGAAAACAGACAUUAUUAUUAGCUCAUUUUAACGCAGGAAUGUUAAGGUAAAACCAUAGCUGCUGAUUAGCUUCAUUUGUUUUUUUUUUUCCCUGCUAUACAACAUACAAAUGAAGAAAGCAAGAAUCUUUCUUAAUAUAUACUACUGUGUGUUUGUGGGUAAAAAGCAAAGAGAGAGUGAGGAAGGAGGAAGGGGCAAAAGGGUUGCACGAUUUUUCAGAAAAAUGAUGUAAAAUCAAUAAAAGAGUUGUUUUCUGGGAGCAUUAAAAAGCAAAAGUUUCUGGCUUUUCUCUUGCUUCAUGCAAAUGGCCCUUUUCUUGUUACACAUUUUUCUAGUUUUCUUUUGUUCUGCUUUUUUAAUUUUUUUUUGUGUUCAAUUUACAUGAUUUUUAGAUUUUGUGAACAUAUCAACCAAUCACUUAUUAAUCACAUUCACAAAAUAGAACCUGAUACAAGAAAUUGAUCUAUAAAUGGCUCGACCGAACAAAUUCUUCAUAAUAAUCAAUUAUUGCUCAAGUGAUUGUUCAAUAAUUGAUUAUGAAAAUAUUCAUAAUCAUUACCAGAAAAAACAAAUUAAAGCCAAAACAAAUUGGGCCUUUUUUUAUAUUAGUGAAUAGUUUCCAUCAAUGCUCUUCAACACAUUGUCAGGGCAAUCCACAAGAAGAUUUGAUUGUAGAAUAAACAAAACAAGAAAGAAAGCAAAUUGCAGGUAUGUUUUAUGAGAUGUGAAAGUGCCACAAUCCAUACCUAAAAGCACAAAAAAUCAAAUUAGAAAGUGGAUCAAAUAAGUAGGAGUAAUAAAUUACAAUAGCCAAUGGGGUGAUUUGCGGAUUUUCGUUGGCAUAUGGGGUUCCAAGUGGGAGGAAUUUUUAAGCAUUGAUUCUCUCAAUCAGCAACUUAGGUAUUUGAGUACAUUUGUUGACUGCAUUGCAUCCACUUUCAGCUAAGUUCACUCACUCACUGCCCCAAACACUCAGCCGUCCUUUUCUCACCUUGGCCUUUGUGUGAUAAAUCAUUUCUAAUCAAAAACGUUCGCCACAUACUACUGAUUUAAUUGCUUUUCUAUUUUCAACUAAUAUCAAUCUCCUUGAGCUCUAGUCAAUACUCGAUUGAACAAGCAAGUCAAACAAAUUCCAAAAGUUUCUUACUAUGUAAGUUAAAAAAGGAUCGAAUAGUAAUAAGGAAUUGCAUAUCCUUUUUUUGGGCUCUGUUUGAAUUAGCAUAUUUUUUAUAAUAAAAUUUUCAAAUAUACAUAUCAAAAUUAUCAUAAAAAUAUAAAAUUCGUACAAUCUUCAAUACAAUUUAUAAAAAUAAUAAAUUCUACAACUUUUUCUUCUUCUACCCAGUGUAUACCACCACUCACCUCUACCACCGUCAAGACCACUAUCGCCCCUCCCUCCUCUCUCUCCUCCCUCUCCUUCUCCCUUCUCUCCUUCCUUCCUUUUCCCUCCCUUCCCCCAACCACUCUCAUUUCUUUCUCUAUAGUGGGUGGUGUUGUGUGGGGAAAUUUUUUAAUUUUUAAAAAUAUCUCAUAGAAUUAUAAAUUUUAAAAAUGCUCAAAAAUAAAUGUACACUGAAAAGUUUUUUCAUAUAUAAUAUUAUAGUGUAGUAUUUGAAAAACACCCCCCCCCCCAAAAUCACAUGAUUUAUACGAAUCCUUUGGUAAUUAUAAUUAAAAAAAAAUGGUUAAAAAUAUAUUUAUGAUACGAAUAAAAUAAUAUUUGAAAUAAUUUGUAUUUAAACACACCCUUCAUUUUGAUAUUUGAAUCUUGAUUUUCGAGGAUCAUGUUUUUGUAAUUUAUACAAUUCGAAGUAGAAAGUUAUUACUCCAUGUUUUGUAAAGUCGAGCACAAUUUGUACAAAACAAGAUUCAACUUUACAGGGAAUUAUUCCAUUUGGUAGCAAUAGCUUUGACUAGGAGCAAGAAAGUUUUGCUGCUUGACUUGAAGCUUUGUACUUCUGCUUCUAAUUAGAGAAAUGGUUACUGCUCUUGUCAUCAUUGUCUAAUUGAUUUGCCAAUUCAAACGGGAAAGAAAGAGAUAAGGAAUUAUGGAGAUAGUGAUGGAGCUAGAUUUCUUUGAACUUUGAAGAGUAAUGGAUACCAGGUGGACACAAACCAAUUCCUCUACGCAAUGAUUCUUUUGCUUCUCUCCCCUAGAAACUGGAGAGGAAAAGAAGUUGCAUUUUGCAUGUCAUUUUAGCUGAGAGAAAUGACAUUUCCAAGUUUACAAUUUUUACCAACAGCUUUUUACAGACUUGUGGAUCAUUAAAAAUGUAAAGGAGUGUGGUUUCCACUAGUUGCUCCUCAUCUUCUGGCAUGAUUGAAACAAGUUCGUCAUCACCAUUCAAUACCAAACACUUUGGUGGAAAAAAGACCUAAAUACUACCAAACUUGUGUGCCAAUAGCUACGAGUGUGCUAAAACAAAAGAUAGAAAUUGAAAAUGAAGAGAGAGAGAGAGAGGAAGGAUUGAUCCAAGUGCAACAUUAAUACAUUCUCUGCAAAAGAUUUGAUUCCCAUUGUAGUCGUCUGUUGCUGCAGCAUCCUGUUUACUCUACUUUUUAUUCCUUUGACAGUGCAUGGAAUCACUCAAAAAGUAACCAACUAUACUGCAGUAGAAAACUACUAGUACUCAAUAAGUAUGGUUUUCUUUCAUUUAUAUCCCAACAUUUCAAGAAAUCAAACUCAAAUGAUUGCAUCUCUUUCAUUUCACAAAGAUUUUCUACCUUACUCUACUUGUCACUGAAAACAUAUCAAGUAAAUCAACUAGAAAUGAGCUUCAUAACCAUCAUAGCAUGCAUGGGAUGAUAAGGUAACGGUGCUCCAAUCAACUCAAAGAGAUGUGGGCUAUAUAUUAGUCAAUUUAGGAUGCACUAAUAUUACAUUGAAUGUCCUCAAAUAACCAUUAUGUUUUCCAUCCCCCCCCCCUUUCUUUUUUUCUGCUGGAAACAAAGCUUGAAAUCCAUUUGGAUGCUGCACAAUUUUGCACAUUCUUGAUCACUUGACCAUGAGCAAAGAUAACCUGAUCUCUUGCAGCCUUCCAGAAAUGGCAAUCACCACCUUUUUGAGGCAAAAGCUACCCCAAACAAAGCUAGCCGGAUUUCAAAUGGAGGUGUGCCUCCUCUAAUGGAAUUCCACCCGGAAUAUGGAAUCAGCUGCUUAGCAACAUUCUUUAUUGUUACAUAUGCAAGGAGGGUUUUCUUCAUUUUAUAUUUUUCUGAGGCAGUGCGUUCAAGUCCAGAUUAACAGUAAUGCUAGCAUGAAUAUAGACAAAACUCUUGUUACCAAAUCUUUGAAGAUGUCAUUGCAUUUGUCAGGGCCUAUCAAGCAAAGGGUUAUUGGUGCUUAUCGCAAUAAUUGUUGGCAUUAUCUCCAAAUUCCUCUCCAACAUACCUGCAAAAUGAUUUGAUGAAUCAUAUCCACAGUGUCAUUCCGUGAUUAAGUUCUGCAGAUUUAGGGGUCCACUGGAAAUUCCCCCAUGUAACUACUUGUAAUAGUUUAAUCAACAGCAAUUACUUGCAGUAGGUAAUACUGAGUAGGAGGCAUUUGUUGCACUUACACAUUAAAUAAAGAGAGAGUAGUUUUGGUCCAAAUGUUUAAUGCAGGUGGACUUAUAAUUAAUUAUUAAAGUUUGGAUGAGAGCAAAUGUAGUUUCAAAUGUUUUAAUUUUUAAGCGCAUUUAGUCCUAUUGAUUAAAUUUUUUUAUAAAAAUUAAAAAAAAAGAAAAAAAUAUUAUUAGACUAAUGACUCGUGUGCCAAUCAGGUGACUAAUUAUUCUUUAGCCUAAAAAUACAACAAUUCAAUCGACAAAAUAUUUAGGUUGAAAAUUAAUUAUUCAUGUGAUCAGCGUGCAAAAAAUUAAUAAUUUUUAUUACAAAUCAUGGCUAGCAAUAUUUUAUCAAUUUAAUUGGUUUCUGGCACGUGACUUGAUUCCAAUACUAAUUGGAAAAAAAAAAAUCAAUCAUUAAAACUAAAUGUGCAUAGAAACAUGAACAUUUGGACUAUUUACUUUCAUCCAAAAUUUAGGGACUAAAAACACUCGUACCUCAAACAUUCGAAAUUAAAACUGUAAUUCUCUGUUAAAUAAAAAUAUUUCAGUCGAUACCCUCCUCCAUAUUUGAGAUGUGCCAUGUUGAAACAAAAGUCUCUUUAUGUAAAAUUCACUAAAUUCAACAGACCCUGUGGCCUAGCAGAUGAUAUCAUGAGUAACAAAUAAUUGGAUUAUAACCAAUUUUUUACUACAUAAGGCCCACAAAGAAUCAGCUAUCAAGUGGAAAGUGAAAAGGCAUUGGGUUUACACCAGACUUAAUACUACACACAUAACCAUUGAACUGCAGCAUAAAUUUAAUCCUUACAGAAAAAAUCUGGACCAGAAAUAUUUUGCUUUUUAAAUAAAGGCAAACUAAUUCUUGUGGACCAACUAUAAGUUUUACUUUCAACUUCGGAGCUUACAAGUCAUCAAAUCAUUUGAAAAAUGAUGCAUCAUAUCAACGUUGAGAUGAAAAAACAAAGUGACUUUCAAGAAUGUCAUACAUCAAUUGCCACGGACCCUUAUAAAUGAAGAAGAACAAGAAAAUUCCUCAAUAUCCCAUGGAUUUCAAUUUGUUUAAGUUCAAUGACUAGAUGGGGAUCUGAAAUUAAUUGCCACUACAAAAAGGCACAUUGCAUUAUUAAUCGGCCUCUUUAUCAUAUGCAAAACAUAUUUGUUCUACAUGGUCAUUUGCUAAUUAGAGAGAUAGCAUCAUUAAUGGACCUAAUGGAGGGGAACAGGACGCUGCAUCAUUAAAUCAGAUCCACAGCAUAGCAUCUGAGAUAGCAGAACAGGACCUAAUGGAGGGGAAGAAGAUGAAAAAUGACAUUUCUUCACUAAACCCACUACUCUAAAAUCUCAACCUGGCAAGAACAGCACGAAGAUUCCUUGAAACUAAAAUGGAAAACUUAUACGGUACUGUUCCAGACUAGAGAUGCAUGUCUCAAUGCAGCGAACAAGUGGAUGAAGCAGCUUGAUAGACUUUCAAUCAUCUUGUGGACGUUUAACAAACAUAAUAAGUUAUUCGUUUAGGAAAGAGGGGGAACGAAAAAAUGUUUCAACUCAUAAGCAUGACAGAGAUGCUGAAACUCAAGACAAGUCAGCUGCCACACUCUGGCUGCACACAGAGACACAGGCUGCUGGCAAAAUGUGUCUUUCCUCAACUCUGGAGGCACGUUGUCAAGGAUCACUGCAACUAUACAACAUGUACUUUCAAAUACAACAUCAGGUCUAUGCUGAAACUAGUCUAUUCAGUUCGUGCCUGGAAAGAAAAAGGGACAAAAGCCCUAGAUCCAAGACAUUAAAACCAACUUCAUUGCACUAAUAGUAAACCAUGGUUGAAGGGAACUAACACUAAAAAUUACAUGUAAGCAAACAACAGAGAGUUGAGAAACUACUGAUUAUUUUUCCACCCUCAAACCUCGUGACCUUGUUAUGUCGCGCAAUGUUUCAGCUAUCUGCAUUAUCAUUUUUCAAAUUGCAAGUGAAGAGUGUAUUUCCUAGCGAUGCCCACUGAGCAAUCCCUUUGAAGAGAGAGAACAGAUACCAUCCUAAGUCCAAACAAAGUUGACAACUUGUUACUGACAGAUACUUCACUCACUGUGGAAUACCUUCAAUUGGUAUUACAUCUUCAAGUGCUGCAACGGUUUUCUCAAGAUAAUUGCUCUCCAGGAAAAAAAUCCCCAUGAUUCCAGUAGGCAAAUUAAAUCACAUUACAUGUAGUUGUAUCUCUAUCAAAAAUUCCAAAGUUGGUCAAACCAUUUCUUCUACAUCUAACAAGUUUAUGAUAGUCUGCCAGAAAGCAACCUUCAGUAAGUAGGCAGAGAACCUCUAUUCAUCUCAUCUUGAGGUUUCGCUAGUACUCUGCAUAUUUCUGCCCUUGCAGGACCCUUCACAAGCACAUUAUAGGUGGAGAUCGUGGGUAUUGUCACAACUUGAAAAAAAAAAAAAUUUUCCGAGCAGCCAUAGUGUCUCUUUUCAUAAUCCGGGUUCCACCAAUGCAUCAAAUAUAGUUUCAAAUGGAAGUAACACUUGGCUCAAAUCAUCUCCUAUCAUCUCCACCGAGGAAAUCUUUUGCAUUUAUUUACUGACAUGGGCACUGCAUAUUGGCCAGGAAUCUGAACCUCGAUCCAAUCCUUUGCAUUCAAAAACUGUUAGUAUACUUUAGGCAUCCUGUUAUACACGAAGCCUAACAAGUAUCAAACCAAUGCUGCAUAAUUCAGUGGUGGAGUUCAAGUUUUCCACAUUUAAAUCUCCAAAUGACUGUUAAAGGAAUACCAGCAAUCAAUGAAAGACCCUGUCAUGGAGAGAACAAAUAGAUUAACAUUUUCAAAUAACAUUCUCUGUUCAAAUCCUAGCUACUAAAGGCUACCAGAAUCUGUUUGUGUAGCCCUGUGAAAAGUCUAGCAGUUACUUUCAAGGAUGGGAGUCAGCAGGUUCAAUAAGACAUAAAAUUUGCGAUUAGAAAUCCUGUGUAACAAAUUAAAUGAUUUGAUCCAAAGGUGAAUUUCAACAAGGGUUUUGCUUCUGCUUUUUCCGGGAAGAGAAAGUUUCCAAUUUAUCCUUGAUGGAAAAGUUUCCGACAGAUUGAACACAACAAGGUUCAUAAAAGAAAAACAUUCUGCAAACACACGCAAAUUUCCAUCCAGCAAAUGUGAAAAGGGGAAAACCCAAUCAAGAAAUUGAUCAAGAGAAGCAACUGAUACCUGCAAAAGACAGUGAGUCUAAGCCUUGAACUACAUCAGGCCUCCUAGUGGACUCGCUCAUCCUUUAGAAGAAAACUAUCAAUAAGCCUUCUUAACAUAUCCUUUGAGGAAGUGAAUUCAUUUAACAGGACAAGACAGGUUUAAUCCAUGUUUACUCCUUUCCUGAUAUCGUCCAUCACCUGUCUGCACGUGAUACACCACUCUUAGGUAGAUAUCUAUGCUUCACAAGCUUCCUUGGGUUACUAUAUGUUUUUAAGACAUCAGACAUUACUACAGCUUUUUUCAUAAUAGUUUUCUUUCUAGCAUGGGAUAGUUCUUCAUGAGCACCAUAUGUAUUCGGCAAUUUCUUUGAGUGAGGAACAGACGACAUCAGAUCAGAAAUUUUCUGGGCCAUUUUUAGCUUUCCCUGUUUCCUUAAUUCGAAACUCAUCUUCUGAUACGUAAGGUACUGAGGGACCAAUCCUCUGCGAAUCAUAUCCUCAAAUUCUUCAAAGGCCAUGUCAACAUGCUGUGUCUUGACUAGCAAAUGGAUUAGCAUGGUACUUGUAGCCAAGUCCAGAUCACAGCCACUUGCCCUCAUCUCUUUAACAACUUGCAUUGACAGGUCCAACUUUCCGUGCACACAUAACAUCUUCACCAGAAGAUGAUAAGUAAGCUGAUCUGGUGCAUAUCCAGAGUCAGUUAUCUUAGCAUAAAGGUUCAAGCCCUCAUCAAUCUUCCCUGAUUUUGAGAAGUGCCUAAAGAAAUAAUUAUAAGUCGUUACACUUGGCACAAACCCUCUAUUUAUCAUCAUUUUGAUGAUCUUACUUGCCCCUUCCAGAUCUCCAGCCUUACAGAAACCCUUAACCAGUGAAUUAUAGGUCGAAAUAGUUGGCCCAGAUACCAACACCAAAAACUGUUCCAUCAUCCCCAGUGCCUCCUGAACCUCCCCGCCUCUCCUAGAGCAUCAAUUACUGGAUUAUAAACAAUUGCAUUCGGCUCAACUCCUUCCCUCUUCAUCUCAGCUAUUAAGCCCAUUGCUACCUCAACAUGGCCCAUCCGGCAAUAUCCUUCAACAAGAGUACCAUAAGUUACAAUACUCGGCUUAAUGUUUUCCCUUUUCAUUUCCAUCCAAAAUCGUUCAGCCUGUUUUAAAUUCCUUGAUCGGAACCAGCCAUUUAACAGUAUAUUGUAAAUGCGUAUAUAUGGAACCCAGCUUGUAUCCUGUCCCCUUCGAUUUUUAAGACACUUGUAAGCUACCCUAACAAGUCCCUCCUUGCAUAAAGAAUCUAAUAAAAUCUCAAACAAUUUCUGCUCUGAAUCUGAAGCCUGACGAAAUGCCAAAUUGGAAGCAAAUUCAUAAGUUUGAAUAGCUUGUGAAGGCAAUCCUGCAAAGGAAAGAGAGUCAUGAAUGAUGCACAAUUCAACACUUAAACAAAAUAAAUAAAGUUAAACAUGAAGAACACAAAAAUAAUGACUCAAUGCUAAGCAGAACACAAGUCAGCAGUAAACCGUUUUCUCAAUAGGGAAUGUAUUGGAUGCAACAUUAAAUCAAAAACUUGCUCAAACUAUUUAGAGACAUCUCAUUUUCAGUAUUUGCAGUUAAAAGAAGAUUCUCAAUAACAGGAAGAUUCAGAUCAUCAGGGGAUCUCUGGUGCUGGUAAAUAACUUGAUCAUUGAUAUAUCCAAAGCAUUCCAAGAAAAGAAAGCACUUGUGUGCAAAUGUUCAUGAUUCUCCUAUAAAUCUCAGUAAAUUUUACACAAAUUCUUUCUUAAAAACAAAAUGGCAGGAAAAAAUGCAUCAUGAUAUACGAGAUUUUCAAAAGCAGCCAUAAAAAACUGAGGCCUCUGUCCCCAGCCCCACCAUCCCCACCCCCAAACAACAAAAACUGUUAAAAACGAGCACACACUGCUUCACAAAUUCCACGACCAGAAAACUGAAACAUUUCCAAGAAUAACAACGUACAUAAACUAGAAACCCAUAAUCACAAAGAUCAAAGAAAAAAUCUUAUUUGAACUCACAAUCCAUCUUGGAGUCUAAUUCAAACUUCAGCAUUUCAAAUAAAUUUCCAACAGUAAAUCACAAGAAUCUUGCAGAUUAUAAAUAUCAAAUAAUCCACGAAUAAAACAAUUAUCCAGUGCAAAAUGCAAGACUACCUGCUCUUGCAAAUCUCCUGAUCAUAAUAACAAAUGAAUCAAAAUUAGGCCUCUCUUCACUAGCAUUAAUCUUAUCAUGUAUUAAAGCCCAAGCCCGGUUGAACUCUCGGGCCUUCCAAGUACAUUAAUCAAUGCAUUGAAAACAGCCAGAGAGAAUUUAAAACCCGGCUGUUUCUCAGCCCAGAGGUAGAAAAUGUACAAGGGUUUAGGGGAAGAAUCAAAAUGGUUGAAUAUCUGCAGUAGCAAAUCCGGCCUAGGCUCAACUCGGGCCUGAUUCAGGGCAUUUUCAAGCUCCGGGUCGGGCUCAAGGGAAGGAUUGGUAAGAAGGUUCGAUAAGGUGGUGAAGUCAGGGGAAGAGUCGAAAUUAGGGCUUUCAGGGUUUUGGAACUGGGGUGGGGUGGACUUAGAUUGGAAUGGUUUUGGGUUUGGUUUUGGUGGGGGCCACUUUGUUCGAUGGUUUAUUGGCGAAGAUAGCCGUGAUUGGGUGGAGAAAAGUCUUCUAGCGGUGGUGGUGGUGGUGGUGAGGUUGAGGAGAAGGGUGGCAAAAGAACGGAUGCGGCGGCAGGUGGAGGAGGAGGAGAGGUGAUUCAUCACUUCAUUUUCAGUUGGCGCGUGUUAGGAGGCAGUUAGUUAAAUAUUUCUCAACCACUGGGCCAUUGGCUCAGUGGCCACCGUGAAGGGACUUAGAUUUUUUUCGUUGCUGGUGAGAUUUCAAAAAAAAUCUAAGGGUUGUACCAUAGCACUCCUUUGAUCUAGUUGGGUCUGUAUACCCAUUAACCCCUUCCACAGCCUCCUUAGGCUCCCCUCCCCCUAGAUUAGGUUAUACAAAUGUAUCGUUGCUGACAAAAAAAUAUAUAUAUUUCUCCUCUAAUUUUAUUACCAAAAACAAGAAGUUUGUUAAUUAGGCCUUAUCUUUCUUCAGAAAAAUUUAUGUGUUUUGUUAACACAUUUUUUAAGCACUUUUUAUCUUACAUACUAGGGUAUGAAAGCUCGCGCAAUGCGCAGGUGUUGAAUGCUUCUAUUUAAAAUUUUUUACAUAAUUUUUAAGAAAAACACAAUAAAAUUGAGAAAGUAGAAAAUAUUGCAGAUAUAAGUUAUUAAAAAGAACAUGUCUAUAAGAUAAGUAUCAUAUUAGUUGAAGUAGAAUUGCCCAUAAACAAAUCCUUUCACACCCUACAUAAAAUAAAGUUAGUUUUUAAGUACACAUAGUAUUUCUUCUGCAUAUGUUAAUCAAGAACAUAGAAGAAAAUGUCAAAAAGGACUAACUGAAUAACAUAAUAAGAAAACAUCCAAAGUUGAAGUUAUAAUAUAUUACUUUUUAUUAUUCAACAUCAACAUAAAAAAUGAGAGCAAAAACAUUUUUUUAAUGUCAAAUAGAUAAUUUAUAUCCUUAUACUACAACUCAUUACAAGAUUAAAAAGUUUAACACUUAGGUUUGUUCUUAACUAGUUUUAUCUCAUCCACAUCAAUUUUGACAAACCUGACACUCGAAAAGAAAGAAUCAACCUUGUAAAUAUAUUAUGGAAAGCUCAAAAGCAUCACACAAAUAAUUUGGAAGUAUCGGACAAUCCAUCUUAACUAUGAUCGAGGAAGUCCCUAAGUUUUUGUGCACAUAGAAUCUAAAAUCCAAGCAAGUUGAUGCCUAAUAUAUAUUUGGUCUCAUCAAGCAAUCCGGCAAGUAUGAUGUGGAUUGGAGCAUAGAAUUUAUAAUUGUUCUGAUCAAUAGGAAAACAAAACAUAACAUGAUCCAAAAUCCGGGUUUUUAGAAGGAAAUAAAUUUAUAGGCUCAUAUUGAUGGAAAUCCAUUGAGAACUAAUAAAUUGAAGUUAAGAGCUGGCUCAUAGAACUUAUUGAGGAUAAUUUUUGCAAUUUUGUCUCUCCAAAAGCAAUCGGUAAUGUGGGCAACAAAUUUGUUGCAUUGGACAAACAAACAUGAGUAUUGGGAAUUUAAGGUGUCUAUUUCAUAAAGCAUUCUUGAAAGAAAUAAGUGAACCGUUAUCACAAUUUAGUCGUAAAGAAAAUGCCCUUCACACUCUCUUGAAAGAUUCACACUAUAUGAUAAUAUGAAAAUUCGUUUCUUCUUUGAGAGCACAUCUCAAUCGUAAUGAUGAAAUACAACAGAAAAACACCCUCACGUGAAAAGAGCUUAUUUGUAGAACAAACCAUCGUGAAGCCAAAAUAAGAAGAAAUUGCAGACAUGAAUUGGAGUUGGAAGCCAUAAGUAGAAAGUGGUUAAUGAUAUUUCCCAAUAUUUGCUUGCAGAUGUGGUAUUUUCACUAUUAACCCUGCAAUGAUGAUCAAACGUUCACUAUAUGUUUCAAAAAUUCCAUAUGAAUGAUGAAAUUAUGCUAGUGAAAAACAAUCAUACAUAGAGUCCUGUGAAAGCAAGCAAAUGAAAUUUUGGUGGAAUAGAAAAUACCUCUUUUGAAGGUUGUACUCAACUAAAGGGAGUAGUUAAAUCAGCAAAAUUCUAUUUUAUAAAUUUCACACUUCGAUACAAUUAAAUCGGAAAUAAAGAAAAAUAAUUGGAACAAGUUGGCCGUGUUGUGAUAAUGAUCAUCCAACAUAAGUUUCAUAAUAAUUUGCAUUAAUUUUACUUUUACAUCUUUCUUCCAAUUGGGUUUUUCACCCUUGUAAGAAACACAAGAAAUAUAUGACUUUAGAACAAAAUUGUAAAAGGCAAGACACUGAUCUUAGUUGUAUAGAGUGGUAGGAAUAAAAAAGUUUUAUAGAGUGGUAUACAUAACUGGUACAUUUAAUGUUGGAAGAAGAAGAUCCUAUAUUGUAAAUGUUGGGAAAAAUGGAAAAGCAAGAAGCAAAUGGUGAAUGUUGUGAAUUGUUACUUAUUUAAUUCAAUUGAUUGUAGGUUAUGGGAGAUCAUAAAGAAAGAAUUUUGAUUAGUUGAAGUUAUUGAUUAGGUCCGAGGUAAUGGGUUAUACUAUAAGGAAUUAAUUGUACAACAAAAAUCAUACUUCAAUUAAAUGUGUCUAUAACACCAUUUCAGUAAUUACAUCAACACAUAAGCUUAUAUGAGUUAUACCCAAUGCAAAAGAGUGUAAAAUGAUUUCACAUUCCAGAAAUACCCAAAUAUCUCAAUAAAUAAAAAUUUUAAAUGUACAAACGUAAGGACAUUUCCAUAAAUAUAUCCAAAAAAUGUUGACAUCAAUUGUACCAAAAGCUUUAAAAAAAAUUACACAUCAUUCUAUAUUCCCAAAAUGUCCCUAUUCAUGUGGUUGAAAUUCAAAACCACAAAUCAUUCUUAUAUAGUAUAAGGACAUCAAAUCAUUACAAUAUAUUUUUUUUUAUAAAAAUCUUAUAAAAUAGCAAUUCAGUUAGUUAAAUAUUCCUCCAUCUAAUUUUAUUACCAAAACAAGAAGUUUGCUAGUUAGGCCUUAUCUUUCUUCAAAAAAUUUUGUGUUUGCUAACACAUUUUUUAAGCAUUUUUUUAUUUUACAUAUAUCAAAUCAUUACAAUAUAUAUUUUCUAUGAAAAUCUCAAAAAAUAACAAUUCAAACGGGCUUUUAGUAUUUGUGUAGUUAGGACGAAAAAAAGGAUGGUAAGAAGCCAAUGGUAAAAUUGAAAAUUCAUUGUAUCAUCAAAUACAAAAAAUGGGAUAUUGUAAUGAUGCAAUUUCAUCUUAAGUUGCCAAAGUCAAAUAUGAAAAAUAAUUAGUAGUAUUAUAGCUGCUGAAUUCUUGAGCUUCUCCAGAACCUCCCUGCAGCAAACAGUUCUUUCGACAAGGAGGGUUCAGCUCGAUUGGACACUCUCACGGAUUUGAGGUAUUGAUAAGGUGAAUAUUCAAUAUUUUCAAUGCUAGGCUUAAUAAGUAUGAGGACCUCAAAAAUCUCUUUUCAUCCUAUGAACUUUAAGGUGCAUGAAGUUUCGUAUUUCAUUUUGUAAGCAGAACAUAGAGACUUUCAUUUGACUUGGUUGAUCUAGGCCAUAGGCAGAUAUACGUCAUGACAGCUCUACCCUUGAAAGACUUUGGUAGUGCUCUUGGAUUAGAAUCCAAAAUAAUAAAUCAAAACACAUAGAGCCAUCAUCUUAUCUUAUUUUUUUGUCAAAAGAAAAAAAAAUGGCAAACUAACGAUAUUUCGAUCAGUUAAUGAAAGAGCCAAAUGCAAAAAAAAAAAAAAAAAUGCAUGUUGGGUCAUUGAAACAGUUCUGAUCAUAUUGAUAAUAAAAAGUUUGAUCUGUUUUAUCCAGAAGGUCUAUGGUUCGAGUCCGUAUAUAUAAGCAAUAUAUGAAAAUAGAAGCAACUACAAGUGCCUAGGUCCAACUAAUUGGAAACUUGGAAUGUCAAGAAUACAUUGCCUAGUCGGCCUCUGACUUAUUGUUAUAGUUCAUUUUUGAGCCAUUAACAAUAUUAUGUAACUUUUAAUACCGCAACAAAUUUAACGCCCAAUGUAUUGGCCCUCAUAUCAAAUUUUGCCAUUUGAUCUAAUGAAAUGAGUGACUAGAAGUGUAAACGAGCAGAGUCGAGUUAGUUUUGCCAUAAUGGAUUUGAGUCUCAACUUAAUUUUAUAAACUUGAACUCGAAUUCGACGAUCUUUCAAUGUAAAACUCAAAUUUAAAAAAAAAAAAUAAUUAUUUUAUUUUUAAAAAAUAAAUAAAAUAAUAGUUUUUCUUAACAAAUAACAAAAUAUUAGGAAUAUAUAUAUAAUUUUAAUAUUAAAAUAAAUAAAUAAAAGAAUGUAUAGUCGAGUUGGCUCACGAGCUAACGAGUUGAAUAUCUUUGAACUCGAGCUUGACUCAAACUCGAUGUUGACCGAGCUUAGACUCAAGUUGCUUGCGAACGGCUCGAUUCAUUUAUAUCCCUGUAUCAAGUCCAGGGGUGUGAUUGAAAUAAAAUCAAAGUUACAAGGGCCUUUGUAUCAAUAUCCAGCAAAUUUGAAAGUUAGUUAAAGUUUGUUAGAAAGUUGCAGAAACAGUUGUAGAGUUAGUUAGCUGAGUGAGUCAGUUUUCGGAGAAUUCAUUGCAAGAGUGUAUAAAAUCCAGAUUGUACAGUGGAUUGGAAAUCAAGAAAGAAUAAUCAUGUUCCCUUUAUUACUGAUUCUUAACUUCCUCUCUCUAUUCUCUUUCCCUCACUCUCCCACCUUUUCUAGUUCCUUUCUUUCUUUCUCCAUUCAUUUGUAAGUUUUUUUUCUCUGGAUUUAGGGUCCUGAAAAAUCUGGUAUCAGAGCUAACUGAUCCUUGGUAGCUCGAGAAACUAAGAUGGCAUAAAGUACCCACUUCAAGACAUUGGAAGAUCACCUCAAGAAGCAAGAACUAAAGUUGCAGAAAAUAAUGGAAGAUGUCAAGAACAUGCAACUUCAGGUCAAAGAAGAACUGGCAGGAAGGGAUAGACGAAUGGAUUUGAUUGUUCUAGGGAUGGAGUAGAAAUUUGAAACACUUAGUUCGAUGAUGAAGGCAAUGAUGAACAAGGAAAGGAGUUUAAAUGAAGAUGAUAGAAAUGGGAAAUAUCGUACAUCUCUGCUGCCUACACCACCCAUUCAUCCGAGGUUGAAUUUGGAAACAGAAAAGAAGCAAAAAGCUGUGAAGUCUUAAGUAAUAUUUCUGGUUACAACUUUCCCAAGAUUGAGUUGCAUAUGUUCAAUGGAGAAAAUCCUCGUGAAUGGACUCGAAAAUGCAACAAAUAUUUCUUGUUGAAUAAGAUUCCUGAGGAUCAUAAACUGCUGGUGGUAAAAUGUUCCUUAAAGGAAAAGCAGAUAAUUGGUUCCAGGGUAUCAAAUUAGAAAAGCCUAGGUUGUCUGGGGGGGAUUUGAAGAACUACUCUGCCAGAGGUUUAAGGGAACUUGUAGUAGAGGCAUUGUCGAAGAAUUUAACAAAUUACAGCAAGUAAGUACAGUGGAGGCCUACCAAUAGAGGUUUGAAUAAUUAAAGACCUUAAUGCUGAUCCAGAAUCCCAACUUGAGUGAGGAAUACUUCAUUUCCAGUUUUACAAGUGGACUCAAGGAGGAAACCAAACCCAUGGUGAAAAUGCUCAAGCCAAAUACACUCUCUGGAGUUGUGGAAGUAGCUCAUUUAUAAGAACAAGCCCUUAAGUUACAAGGAAAGACAGUGAAGGAAGGAAGGAAGGUGAUGGUUGAGCCAAGAUUUGAGAUGUAUAGGCACCCUAAUUCUGCCAAUAGAGGGAUCAGUAAUUACAAGUUGCCUUAGGGCAAUACACCUAAGCUAGUAACCAGGAACACAGAAAUUAAGAAGCUAUCUCCACAAGAGGUACAGUUUAGGAGAAAUAAUGGACUGUGCUUUAAAUGUAGAGAGAAGUUUGGUAUGGGACACCAGUGUAAGAUGAAACACUUGCAUUUCAUGCUGUAUGAGGAAGAUGAGGACAGUGAGUUUCAAGAUGCUCUGGGAGAGCAAGAUGAGUUGACUGGUCGCCCAGGAGAAUCAGUAGAAAGAUCCCUGAAUGCUCUUUCAGAUUCUUUUAGGCGAAAUACUAUAUUACUGGAAGGGCUGGUAGCAAGGGAAACUGCCAAAAUCUUAGUUGAUACAGGCAGUAGUGACAGCUAUAUUCACCAUAAACUUGUAUUUGCACAUGAAAUUCCUUAUGAAUAUGUUAAACCCUUCAUUGUCACCAUGAGAGAUGGUAGCUUGGUGACCAGUUGUGCUCAGUGUCCAAAAGUCCUUUGGCAGAUUGCUGAUAUGUUGAAAUCUGGAAUUAUUAAGCCAAGCAACAACCCUAUGCAUCACCAAUUCUUUUGAUUAAAAAGAAGGACAACACAAGGCGUUUCUGUGUAGAUUACAGGUACUUAUAUGAUCGAACAAUCAAAGACAGAUAUCCUAUACCCAAUAUUGAUGACUUGCUAGAUGAGUUGUAUGGAGCACAAUUCUUCUCUAAGAUUGAUCUGAGGUCUGGAUACCAUCAAAUCAGGGUCAAGAUGGAGGUGACAGGUAUUUUACAUACAUGCAAGUUAAAAAACCGAAUUACACCCGUUCACUGCAAGUAUACAGAUCAACUAGUAGUUUAGGGUAUAUAUCGGGUCGAUCCCACAGGGAAGAGUGAACAAUUACCGGUAUUACUAAAGCUUCUCUAUUAUUUAGACUAUCAAUGAAUUAUAACAAAUUUUACCUACUCAAAUUAUACAAAAUAACAAACAAAAGCUCCUUACGUUGUGGUAUCCCUAACUACUCAUGCAAGUGCUAUAUUUGGAUCAUUAAUUAAUACAUUUAGGCUAAUUAUGGUGUAAUUUCCUUAUGCAUUUGAAUCCUACUUUCGUAGUGAAUCAAUUAUACCUAUAACUAAUCCAUACCUAUUUUCAUGGUUAUGAAAUUAGCUACAAGUUCAUUUCUUCAAUGAAAUUACAUGAUAUGAAUCACUAAAAACCACAUAAGUGCACCUCUACUUUCGUGAGUGUACUCCUUAUGUUUAGCACUUCUUGAACUAGUGUUAAAUCUCAAUUUUCAUUGCAGAAACAACACCUUAGAUCAUCACAAUCAAUGGUACCAGAUUAAUCAUGAUUUAAGAAGCCAAAGUGCUAAAUAACUUGCUCAAAUCAUAGCAAUCAAAUAACCAAAUAAUAAACACUAACAAUCAUAGAAAGUUCAACCAAACCCAAGGUAUAAACUUUAAAAACACAUAUUACACACAAAAUCCAGAACUUGUAUAUUAACUAAACUUGGAAUCAAAUACAAAAGAUAAAGAGUUUGGAAGGAAUACAACCCUUGUCACAUGAGCUUUCUUCCUUGCCUUCUUCAUCCUCCAUCUUCAUCCUAAUCUAGAUAAUAAACAAGAAUGGAUGAACUAUACUACUCUAUACUAAGCUAAACUAAUACUAGGAAGAUGAAAGAGCUACAUUUCUGCAGACUCCAAGCUUCUCCCGUAUGUCUCUCUAUCUCUUACUCUAUCAUCCCCUUUUUUCCAAUUUGCAAUGAAUUUGGCUAUUUAAUGAUGAAAGGUGGUCAAGAAAUGAAGCUUUACACUUUCUCCUUACAGCUGGUAAUGUCUCUCACAUGUCUAGCAUCACAUGUGAGUUUGUGGAGGUGAAAUUGAGUUUUACGCGUAUAAAGCAGCCUUUUCUGACCAGUGAUCCGAGCUGCUACAGUGCCUCGGAUCCACUAACCCAGAAACAGCCGAGGGUUCGGAUGAAUAGUGGAUCCGAGUGUGGAUCACUUGCUCUGUUUUUGGCCCAACUUCAAUCGAUCUUUUCUUGAUGUUAGAGGCUGAACCAGCUCAUGUGUAAAACACGAAAGUUGUAGCCUUUUGAGUUAUCUUUCCAAUGCAUCAAGAAUCACCUCAUUUGGAUCUAUGUAGGCUGAGAUAUGACUGAAAUACCCUUGUCUUCUCAUUGCCCUGUUUCAGCUUCGACCAACAGAAAUUAGCUAAUGUAAUUCGGCUUUUUGAUUUUGAAAACCUUCAAACUGGAUUCGGAUGUCUUCACCAAAGUUGUAGAUCUAUCUCUUAUCUUCAAAUGGGUUCAAGAAUCAUCCCAAUCCGAUCAUUGUAACUCAAGUUAUAGCCGAAAUACGAAAAUGUGUCAAAACUGUCAAAAUACACAAAAUCCAAGUAAAAAGUGAUAAAAACCUCAUUUAAUCACUUAAAAGCAUUUAUCACCAAUUAUAGCCAAAAUGAUUCAUAUUCUUCCAAUAAUAUAACUAAAGUGACUAAAAAUAAUAUAAAAUGCCAUACAAUUAUUACGUAAAUUAGUCACUUAUCAGGAGGAUACACAUAAAACUGCUUUUCAGACUCAUCAGAGGCAUUAUGAAUUCCUGGUAAUGCCAUUGGAUCUGACAAAUGCACCUGAUAUAUUUAAGGCAUUAAUGAAUCAAGUGAUUGAGCCAUUCCUGAGGAAGUUUGUACUAGUUUUUUUUAAUGACCUCCUAAUUUACAGUUCUACUACACCUCAGACAGGUACUGGAGGUACUUGGACAGAAUCAAUAUGCCAAGCUAUCUAAGUGUUCUUUUGCUUAGCACAUGAUUGAAUAUUUGGGUCAUGUAGUGUCCAGUGAAGGAGUCAAUAUGGACACCAGCAAAGUGGACUGCAUUAGUUCCUGGCCCAUUCCUAAGUCUGUUAAGGAACUUAGAGGUUUUCUGGGACUCACAGCUACUACAGAUGUUUCAUAUGAGGAUAUGGAACCAUUUGCAAGCCAUUAACAGUCUUACUCAAGAAGGAUGCUUACUAUUGGAAUACAGAAGCUCAGAAGGCCUUUGAUCAACUGAAACAGUUGAUUAUCACUGCACCUAUAUUAAGAUUACUAAAUUUUGAUCUCCCAUUUGUCAUAGAAACAGAUGCUAGUGGUCAUGGUAUGGUACAGUAUUGUUGCAAGAAGGACAUCUCAUAGCUUUUAUCAAUAAAGCAUUUCCACCCAGAAAUAUGGGGCUGUCUGUGUAAGAGAAAGAACUGAUGGCAUUAGUAUUUGCAGUAACCAAAUGGAGGCACUACUUAGUGGGCAAUCAUUUCAUUAUUAAAACAGAUCACAAGUCCUUGACGUUCCUAUGGGAGCAAAGAUUAACAACCACUGCUCAAUACAAAUGGUUGACUAAGUUGCUAGGAUUGGAUUAUGAAAUACAGUACAAAAAGGGAACAGAAAAUACUGUGAUUGAUGUUCUAUCUAGAAGACAGGUUGCAAACUCUCAGGAUGUACCUCACCAAGUCAUGGAAUUGAGAAGUGUGCAACCUGUGUGGAUAGAAGAACUACAAAAUUGCUACUUUGAGGACACACAAUGUCAAGAGUUGAUGAGCCAAUUACUUUUGGAUCCUGCACCUCACAAUUCUGAUUUCCAGUUAACUAAGGGGCUGAUUAGAUAUAAGGGCAAGUUAUAUGUAGGAAAUGGUCAUGGAAUUAGACAACAAAUAAUCAAGACUUGACAGGUGCCGAACCUGUGCAAUAAUAAAUACCUACUCGAGAAAAAUACAGAUUUUGUAUAUAGCGGUGAGUAGGGUCGAAUCCACAGGGACUGGGGAUAAUUCGUUUCUUCUAGAGUUCAAAGUAUGGGGGAUUUUGGAUUAAAUGCUAACUAAAUAAAUUAAUUGCAGAAAAUAAUUGAUUAAGAGAAAUAAUUAAGGGAAAACUCUAGCCAAUGGUACACUUCAGAAAUGGUUCAUGCACUGAUCAUCGAUUCACAGAUAAUUCCACAUUUAUUAAUAGAUUGGUUAUAGUUGUCAUACACGCGAUAAACAACCAACCUUUCCUUACUUUCUCGAUAGUUAAAGUACGACCGUUAACUAUUUCUCUAACCAAAAAACAAUCUUAGGUACGACCGUAGGAUUUAAUUUCUAGAUUGCAUUAAUAAUUAGAAAGGCCCAAUCCUAACUAACAAACACGUUAAGAGGGUUUGUUUAAAUUACAUUGUAUGUUUCCCUGACAUAAACCCGAUUACGCCAGUUGCUACUGAGAUAAAGAUAACGAACAAUUACGGAUUCAAUUAUCCCUAUUUAGCAAAAUAGCCUAUGUGAAUAAUUAAAUAUUGCGCAUCUAUUCAAUCACUCACACGAGCUAUAGCAAUUAAAAGCAGGAAACAUAUAAAUAUCAAUAAAUUAAGGAAGCAAUUAAAAUAAAUUAGAUCUCACAGUAAUUAUUGAACUAAAUCUUCAGUUGUCCCUUGACUACUAGCAGUAGGAGGUUAGUCCUCCAUUAAUGGAGAACAACCCCCGCGGAAAAGCUAAGAAAAGAAAAUCUAAAACUAUGCUAAAAGCCUAAACUAAAACUUGUUUCUGCCGAGAGAGAGAGAGAGAGAGAGAGAGAUAUCCCCUGAAGCCAGCGAAGGGAUUGUAUUUAUAGAGUUCUCGUGCGGCUGUCUCCCAAAAGAGACCCAGUAGUCUUCCUGCUUUUGUGGGUCAGCACGUUUAGUCAAAGAAGGAACCAAAUCAAUUGAAAUCCAAUUGAAGUCUUGUUGCCAAAUGACUCUUCACGUGCAAAUUGGCUAAGUCAGCAUUGUUCCAGAAUUGUCACCCGCGAAGGAAUCUCCAAAUAUUUGGAAGUUUGCACGUGACCAACAAUCCCGCAAAUCCGGCUUUGGACAUCAUACUUAGGCGUGCCCACGUCUAACUGACAGGAAGGCUUCAAAAGUUAAUUUCCCAGCUCCUUUUGCCCCUAAAUGCUGCAAUUCGCAUAGAACACAAAAUCUCAGUAAAAUCCACCGAUUAGUGCAGUAUUUAGUCCAAAUAAAUAGGAAAAGCACGUGAGAAGACCGACUAAACUGCACUCUAUCAAUUACCCCCACACCUAGAUCAUGCUUGUCCUCAAGCAUGAGAAUAACAAAUCAAAUAAUCAAAUUCAAAUAAUGGCUAUUGCUUGAAUAUUCUAUUGCCAAACAUAUGUCAAGUAUUAGUGGCAAUUUGCAAAACUAUCUCUCCAAUUAGCUUUCAAGAUCAAGGACUCUUUCAAUUUAUGACUAACUAAUCUACGAAUAUAAAAUAUUCAACCAGCAGCUAUAAACAAAUGGUUCGACUAUUAAACAAAAUCUCAACAUUAAAAUUCAUGGAUCAGCGGGCUAACAAUUCAUUCACCUUUUUCACUAUUAGCACUUUUUCUAGAAUAUCCCCACUUGAUUGAUUUUUUUUUCUUCAGGGGGAAUACUUAGUUUUUAGCCAUUCAAGCAUUUUGACGCGAACUCCGACAUUGGCCAAAUGAAGGAGCCCGGUUACUCAGCCAUCAUCGCUUAAAAAUCACAUACUCAUAGUUAUCGUCGCUUUUUGACGCGAAAGUCGACACUUGUGGUGAAAACCUCCGAUUACUAGACAACGAUACUAGCGGAGUAUAGCUGAAUACUAUUCAUAAAUAAGCACAAAAAAAAAUUAAAUACCACAUAAACUCGCUUCAUUUCUUAAACAUGGAAAACUAAGAUUAAUAGCUUAGACCAAUUAUCUCUCCGGUAGAAGAUUGCCUUAAGUGGCACCUUACCCCAAAUGGACAGUUUAGCCUUAAAUCAGCAGUAGAUUUUAUCUGCUCAAAUAACACCCUUGUUGGAAGAUAUGGAACUUGAGAGGGAUUGGAUAUGGAAGAUCAUGGCUAGUAAUCGAGUAAGGCAUUUUCUAUGGAUUGCAUGCCAGGACAAGCUCCCAACCAAGAGCAAUCUACUCAAAAAAUUCAUUAUCCAAGAAGAUUGUUGUCCUCUAUGCAAUAAUAAUAGAGAAGACACCUAUCAUGUCCUGAUUUUCUGUCCUGGAGCCAAAGUUUUAUGGAGAAAGAUAGCUGUGCCUUGGAAUUUUUGGCCUUUUGAAGGAUAAAAUCUCUGCUCUUGGCUAAAGAAGAUAUGCAACAUGACAGAUUUAUCACCCCACUAUGGCAUACCAUGGGGAACCAUCGCAGCAUUUGGCUGCUGGAUGUUAUGGAAGAAUAGGAACAUGGCUCUGUUUGAACCUCAAUCCUGCCCACCAAAUCUUGCUUCAACAACAAUUGGAAUAGCAGCAGAAUUCCUAAGCAUCGGACCCAUAAGUAGUAAAACCAUCAAACAUAAGGAUCUUGUCAUGAUUGCUUGGGAAUCACCCCCUCCAUAUACUUUCAAACUCAACACGAUAGUGCUUCACUUGAAAACCCAGGACCAGUAGGGACCGGAGGAAUCAUACGCAAUCAUCUUGGAGAAUGGAUUAGUGGGUUUAUUAGAAAUCUGGGGUGGACUUCAAAUACAAGUGCAGAAUUAUGAGGGUUAAGAGAUGGGCUUCUCCUGGCAAAAUCUCUUAAUAUUCAACACCUUCAUAUUGAGAUGAAUGCUUCUGUGAUUGUCCAUUUGAUCUCUACAGAAACUAAUGAUACCUACUCCUACUCUUCUAUGAUUAAUGAUUGCAGGAAUAUCAUGAGGAGUUUCAUCACAACUACCAUUAAACAUGUCUUCAGGAAAGCAAAUUGCUGUGAUGGGAUGCAAAAACAGAGGAAGAAGGCCUCAAGGUGUUCAAUGACCAGCCUGCAGCCAUUGCAAAACUAGUAGAGAAUGAUUGUAGGGCACUUUGUUUGGCCCAUUUUGUAAAUUCGAGAUCUUAAACUCGAUCUUAGCACUGGAUCUUGUACUGACUGUUUGAAAUUUACUAACUUCUUUCUUACCCAAAAAAAAAAAAACUCACACGGCCACAAAGUGCAGAAUUAUAGUCCCCACGAGUACUACUGCUAUUCCCUAUUCGGUGAAGCAUUGCCAAACUCACAUUAUAAUAGUAGGGCUCCACCAAUUACAACUCUCAAAACAAAGAAAAGCUACCAUUUUCUCUUUUACUAUAGCAUUUAAAAUAGCAAGCAUUGGCAGUGUACAUACAACCAGCAACACUAGCGAAUUUGACACAUCAAAUCAAUCCCCUUAAGAUGUCAAGUUUACCACUGCCCAAUGAAUAAAUCAAAGGUAUAGAGAUCAGAAUCACACAACUCUCCGGACCAGUAAAAUGAGGGGAAAAAUACAACUUGGAACACAUGGCAUAUCUUGACAGGCAAGAAAGAAAAAUCUAUCGACGAAGCAAAAUUUAGAACUUGGGUUAUGACAAAAGCUUUGACGAACUAGCCAAAAACCGCGUUUUGCCAAGAUGGUUGGAAGCUCAUCGCCUCCUCAUCCCCCUUCCACGACCUCGGAAUGCUGCACCUCCGCGCCCUCUACCCAUAGCACUUGCAGCAGCAUCUCCUUGUGCGCUCUCGGACUGUAAUUGGGAAAAAGCAUUAGGAACACCGCGCAUUGCAGGAAACAAAAACUUGGGCGGUGAAGAGAGUCAUCUAACUAAAUCUUGAAGGUCAUCAAUCAAGACUAGAGAAGCAAAUGAACAUUCUACUUUCAUAGAAAACAUCAGCAUUUGAGAAGCCAGUCUAGAAGACUAUACAACUUAACAUACAACGAAAUCACCAGCAAUAAAUAGCGUCUAAUGCCGCAAAUAAGCCAUUUCCUUUUUUCCACAUCAACAACUCAAAUAAGGAGGUAAUUCUCACGGCAUCAACGUUACUUUUACAAUGAAGAACUUUUAAAUUUUAAGUCCUCAACUGUUGAGCUAGGCUGCACCUUUUCAAACCAAGGCCAAUAUUGGGUCAUCCUUGAUGAGUGUAAAAUGAAGUGCACGAUGUGACCAGUCUUUGACACUACUCAAAAGUCCAAGACCCUGAUUGUUGAGGCCCCAAGGUUGAGAAAUUUCUUUUGUGAUGACCUUAAAAACCAUGUUUACAUUUACCAUAUACAUAAUAUAGUUACUUAUAUCUAAUGUAUACCAAAAAUUACAGCUAUAUAUGUUUUUUGUUCAAUAUAUCUAUAUAUGUGAAUGAGUUUCCAUAUAUCUUAAAACUUUUUAUGGAAAUCUUCAUAAACAAGAAGUCUUUGAUUUUGAUAAAUUAAUAUGUGAUAUCCAAACUGAAUAAGGAAUAACUCGCAUUUUGUAUAUUGUGAUUUGACAAAAGUUUUUGUCCUGAUUUCACAUUCACCUGCUGCGUUUGCAAGGCUGACCAGUAUUGGCACCCAAAAAAAAAAAUAUUUGAUCAAGGUUUGGUCAGUCAAUUGAACAUUACACAUUACCUUGGGAUUUUUAACUGUUUCAUCUACACUUAAGAUCAGGCAAGCUGCUUCAGUAGCUGCAUUUAUGGCAUUUAUCUGCACCACAAAAAAAAGAGUUACAAAGCCAUAAUUCUUCUUAAACUACUUCUGUCAGCAGAAAAGUAGUGUUUCAGUAUCGGAUAGAAACAUGGUAGACACCUUCACCACUGAUGGCUCCCAUACAAAGUUGGCAAAUGAAUCAGCGAUUCCACCAGUAUUAAUAUCCACCCCAUAAAGUGCACCCUCACCUGUUCAGAUUCGUUGCAGCAAGUGACUAAGUUGACAGGAAAAAGGAAUCACAAACAAUCUACACAAAACAAAGUCUAUCCACCCAAAACUGAGGGCUUUGUAGCAAAGUAGCGGACAAGCAUCCUGUUAUUGAAAAGAGGGCAAGGAUAUAAUAUCAUAGACAUCCACAAAAAGCUCAAGGCGAACCAGAUGGCAGUGCGUGUUUUUGUCUUAAUUUGUUCAAGACAUCAGUUGCAUCAAAACCAGCAUUGUCACACAACUGCCGGGGGAUUAUCUGCAAGAAGUGGCAGAAAAUAUAUUAUUUGUCAACAGCAGACUGCGAUUAGAAAACCAAUACCUCCCACUAACAAAUCACAACAUUAACAAAUUCAGAGCGACAAUGCAAGGAGAUAGUUCAAUUCUAAUCCAAAGAAGAAGCUAGUGUAUAACUCUAAUUGUAGCUAAAUAGAAUACUAUACAUAAAGUGCAGCCAAUUCCUUGUCCAGUAUGACACACAAAAAUCUGUCAGGUAUAAUGCAAAUUUAAAAGAGAUCAAAGCACACCCCUACCAAGUACAACCAACAAAAGAAAAGGAAACCAAAAUCUCAGAAAAUAAAAUUGCAAACAUGAGAUUUCCGAUGCCCUUUCAUUCCAUUGUUUUGCUAAUGUGCCAGAAGGGAGAUCAUUGUAUAGACUCUAGCAUCUCUUUACAAGAGAUACAUGAAAUUCAGGCUGACCUUAGGUUAGCACUGCUCCAAAAUCCAAAAGAAGUCCCAGAGGUUUUACCUCCAGAGCAGACAACACCCUCUUUUUUCUCUAAAUAUACAUGAGGUGACUAAACAAGGAAGAUGAAAUCUUCAAACUACAAGAACUCAAAGAAAACUCUACCUACAGAGAUGCUACACCUACCAUUAAGGAUGAAUGGAUGUACUAAGAAAUUUCAGAAACUUUGGAAGGAGAAUUUCAUAUAAGAAACCAACUACCAGGACAUAAAACCUCAUAUAGGAAUAGAAAGCACAAGCUCAAGAAAUAGAAUGCCUACCUCAAGGGCUUUAGCAUAAGAAUUAAUAAAGAGCUGAGACUUCCCAGCUAUUGUACGCGCAUGCUGCCUCAAGUAUCUGCUUAUCUCCAUCUGCAGCCCAGCAUAUUCAGUGAUCAAGAAUCAAGAUUCUAAGAAUCAUAUAAAUAUAUUGAAUAUCCUAAAAGAGAUCUCUAAGUCAUACAUCUAUAGCACCACCACCAGCAACAACAGUAGAGUUCUUCACAGCCCUUCUCACAAUCAUAAUUGCAUCAUGCAGACUUCGUUCAGCUUCCUCAAUAAACUGAGUACCAUUCAAGCCAAAAGAUUAGACUCAAUUAAAUUGCAAUAGCAUGCAUAGUGUCAUUAAUAAGCACCUGAUCUGCUCCACCGCGAAGAACAAUAGUGGCUGUCUGGCCUGAUGGGCAUCCGCUAAAAAUAUUAAACCGCUCAUUUCCAACUUGCUUCUCCUCAAAUAUCUCACAAGAGCCAAGAACCUUUUGACCAAAAAUAUGAAAAAGAAAAGCCACACACACACAAACACAUGCAGAAAAUGAAAAAAAUGGUUACUAACAGAAAACAAAUCCGACAAAAGGAAAUUUAUACUUGGGGAAAGUUUUCCACUCUGUCCAACUAAAUUGGCAUGUAAUGUAAAGGAAGAAUUGUACCUCAUCAAUAACAUUAUUCACUGUGGUCUGUAUAGUUCCGCCAGUUGCAGCAGCCACCCGAUGCAGAUCCUCCUCAGUAACACGACCAGCACAGAAUACAUCCCGAUCUGCAAAAUACUGAUGAAAGCCAACAGGAUCAAUAGAUCUCAUAAUGAUACUAAACAUAAGUUGUCCUGCAAAAUGCAGAAAACAGUUCUAUACAUAAACAAAACUAAAGUAGAGCUUGACAUAAUAUAUAAUCAAUAAAGUAUAGCCCUACUUCUCACGCUGCGCAGGGAAGAAAUGCCAUACUUCAAAUCUAAUUAAUAAAUUUAAUUUUCUAUAGAUGUUCAAUAAGUUCAAUAGGAAAUUUAAAGUUCUAUACAUAAAGCAAACCCCAAUUUAAAACAGCAGCAGCUUUACACAUGGGGACAAGCCCAUGCAGCACUAAAGAAACCCAGAAAUUUGUUUGCCCACAUGAAAAUUUAAUCAUUAAGCAAUUAAGCAAGCAUUACCUGCGUUGCUAGGUCACCAAUAGCCAGCCGAGAUAAAAUGAUUUUAGCCCCACUUUUCACACAUUUAUCUAACUUGUCAUAAAUGAUAUUCCAUUCUGCAUCAACUAUUGACUGAUACUGCGAUGGAUCUGAGAGCCUGUCAACAACAUUUGCUGAGUAACACACACAUUUUUAACACGAAAUAUGAAAACAAUUGCUUCUGUGGAUAAAACUGCAGAAAAACAUACUACCUUAUUUCAGCAUUCUCUUUCUCUGAUUUCAGUUCCAAUUCUAUAUUCAGCAAAAGUAUCUUGGGAUUUACAAAUUUCUUUGGUUGCUGUUCAAAACCAGCAUAUGAGAAUGUUUUCUUAAAGGCAACGCCAUUUACAAGAAAAGAAUCCCUCAUGUUACCACCAGGAACCUACAAAAGUAAGAUUCUUAUCAUUACAUACUUCAAUGAAACCACAAAAUUUCAAGCUUUUGUUACAGGUAAAAAGGUCAAGCUGGAGAAGGGCAAAAAAUAACCUAAAACCAUAUAACAGUUAUCAUGACUGUAUUAUACACGAUAACAAUGUAAUGGGUUAGGACAAGCAUAGAAAAUUAAACCAUGCACAACAUAUAUCGCCCAAAAAACUGAUCCUAGUUAAGUACUAUUGACCCAAAACUGAAAUGUAGUAAAGGUGAAGUGGGCCAAUAGUGUAUAUAUAGUCUCUGAAGAAUGCAUCAAAAAAGUCUAGCCACCCAUCCAAAUAUGAUGGAACUCAGGUGUGUGAAAAGAAACAAAUGGUAUACACAUAUGAGUUUAAUUUCCACAUCUAAGACAAACACUCAAUCUGCUCAUCCAUUGCACAGUAUUGUUUGGAAGCCGACAUUAAUUACCAUAUAGUGGUGAUAGCAGAAAAACAAGGCACUUUCAGAGAAAGGAUCUUAUGCACUCAGAUAUUCCCCCAAACUAGAAUCUGCAUAAGACAAGAUUGCUAAACCACGAAAAACUUUUUUCAAGUUGGGUACAAAUUUAAAAAAGAAAAAUUAGUUACGAGAAGAUCACCAGCCUUGUGAUUAUCAAACUUUUAUCAAUCCACAUCAUGGAUAGAAAGAAAAACAUAUAGACUCAGGUAUCUACUCAAAAACUAUCUAUUACAAAUACUUGAUGCUAUUCUGCGACAGCUUAAGUCCACUAUGUCAUUCCUAUCCUUUACAAACCCUUGUCUAAGUGAAUCAAAAGUCAACAACAAAGCACUGAUAACGGUAGCAAAUAAUUUUGGAGUCCCUGUGUCUAAUUUGGUACAAACAUUUUGGAAACUCAGCCUUUUUGUUUAUUAAAUCCCUUAAUGUUGUGAGCUAUCAAGAGAAAUGUUAGGAAAUAUAUGCAAGAUUGAAUUUGGAAUGCGAUAUACUAGGCAAAUUUUGAUAGGCGAUACCCUUACCAUAUGACAGAAAUAGAAAGCAUGAAAAGGUUAAUAAGAAGGAGAUAAGCGGAUGAAUUCCUUAAAGGAAUUUACUUGAACAAAGAAAACAAUUUACCUACCCAAAAAAUAGAACAGAAAAUGAAUGGAAAGACUGACCCAAAAAGUUCUUUAAACAACACCCAAGUGAAUGACUGCUUCUACUACUAAAGCUUUCAAACUUGCAAGCAAUUGUAGCUACAGUGCAUAACCCGUGAAGAGAAUCAAAUGCAAAACAACAUACCAGAUAUAUAAAGAGUAAAAAUGAGGAGAAAUAAAAAUUCGAAACUCUGAAGGACAAAAUAUAAGUCACACCAAUCUCUCAAAAGAUAAAUUAUCAGAAUUCGAUGAGCAGUUUAGAUGGUUAUUAAAGUAUCCCAUGACCUGGAAAAAAGUUUACAAGCACGUGACUAAUACCUAAAAGCACCCAUUGCAUACCUUUUUGAUACCAAUCAUGUUUAGCCUAUCGUCAUUUCCAAUAGCAAGGACAGCAUCUACAACCAUAGAUGCAAAGAAAUCCUUCUCACCACCAAUGAGUUUUGAGGAGAGUGAUGUAGCAGCACAGUUAGCUAGUAAGCUUUUCUUCUCUUCUAAGCUCUUUCCUUCAAUGCUAACAGCCAAUUCUUUCACCUUUUCAAUUGCCUAUAGCAGCAUGAGUGAUUAAAUCAACAGCCAGUUUAAAUUUAAUGUCAAACACUAAAGGCCAAUAAGAAUUAUAUAGUUCUAUGCUUGUACCAAAUGGCCAGCUGUACGAUAACUUCUAAUCAGAUUUUGAGGAUGCACUCCAUCUUCAAUAAAAGGUUUUGCCUCCUUCAAGAACUCUGCUGCUAGCAAAACAACAGUUGUGGUCCCAUCACCAACCUGAAGCACAGCAGGAAAUAAGUCAGCUUUUUCGAAAUAUUAACCGCUCAGGCAAAUAUUUAAAACUUUAAGACGACAUGAAAACAAUCAUGCAUGAAUGCCUAGGACUAAAAUGCACUAACUAUUAACUUAUUUACAAGUGAUUUAACUGUCAAGUAUCUUCCCAUCCUCCAAUCAAUCUCUAAGCAACAGUAAACAUAAUCAUACAACAUAUACCAAAUGGCCUAAAAGGUGCAAGUAAUGGCAGAAAUGACAUCUGCAUGUUGUAAAUCAUUGAGGUUAAAAAAAAAAAUCUGUAACAAGGCACAGUGAACAAAUAUGAGAUGGCACACAUAAUGUGCCAGUUCUUAUUUGCAUAACUUAAGGCCAAGAGUUCAAGAUAAUGUGCAUAUUGUUUCAUUCAUCCUGAAGACAAAGGACAAUUUUUUCUAAUCCCAACCAACAACAAAAGUUAUUUUGUCUUAACCUUCCAUUUAUUGAGGACAACAACGGAUGUGGCAUCCCACUUUUUUAUUGUCCAGCUAGCAGAUUAGUCACAUGACAGAUGUGACACCGAGUAGAAGCAAACUAGAACAGACCAUCUGCUACAUGGUUGCAGAAAUUCCUAUUUUUUCAUUACUCAAAAAUCACAGUAUGACUAUAUUUCUAACAUGCUGCUAAUCCACUAAUUUUAUAUUUAGAAAAAAAAAAGAAAUCAUUAUUCUUGACUCAAAUGAAUUUGCAUCAAACAACAUCGAUCAUUCAUGAAAACAAAAACACAAAACCAACUGCAGUAACCACAAUAGAGGUACCUCAGAGUCCUGGGACUUGGCAAUGUCAACAAGAAUCUUAGCCGCAGGGUGAAUAAUGUCGAGAAGCUUCAUUAUUGUGGCACCAUCAUUGGAAAUAGUGGUGUUACCCUUCUCAUCAUGGAUCAACUUGUCCAUACCCCUAGGUCCAAGGGUGCUGCGCACCACAUCAGCCACAGCUGUACAAGCAUUUAUAUUGCUCAACAACUGUGGCUUUCCUUGGGAUGUAUCAGUGCCUUCCUUUAGCAGUAUGAUCUGAGGUUGCUGUUUUAUUGCCACAUACAGGAAUACUGUUAGUUGAAGGAUUAAUUUAUCUUCAGAUUCUUCAACUCUCUAUACAGUAAGCUAAAUCAAGCAAAUUUAACAUAUUAAAAAAACUACCUUCUCUUUCUAAUUAAUAAAAUGGAACGUUAUUUCUUGAAUAUUUUAUUAUUUAUAUGGAGAUGCAAAAUUUUUCAUUUAAUACUGUUGAAAAUAUUAAAAAAAUGCAAUAGAAAAUCCCACUAAUUUUACAAAUUUCACCAACAAUUUGGUCAUUUUUUUCCCUUAAUUUCCCUCGCUUCCUGUAGAAACAUAAAGAAUAAAGCAUUUUGACAUACAUUUUCCCUAUCUCUUCCUUCCCAUUGCCCAAAAACUAAAAAAGAGAAAACAGGGCUAAAAAAAAAGAAAAGAAAAAUUCAAGCACUUACAUUUUAUUAAACCUACAGGAACUCAAUAAAACGAGUUUUUUUUUUCCAACUAAACCGCACUAACAAAAACACCUCGAUUGAGCUUACCUUUGUAACAUACAGAUUUAAGCAACAAAGAGCUCACACUCAACAGAUCAACAGCACUUCUCCUACUCUUUCUUUCUUUCUUUCGUUUUUUCUCAACAUAAAUUUUACCCCUAAUCUUUAAGAAGUGAGCUUGGUGGUCGUAAAAUUUCCGAAUCAUCUUCAUUUCUGCAGUUUCUGAUAUACUUUUCUCUCACAUUCUUCGAAUCAUGACAUUACAAAGAAAUGAAGCAGCAAAAGAUGCGAACUUGCAUACAUGCGAUAUACGUAGAGAAUCUAGAAAGGACAACUUACCAGCAUAGUCGCCAUUGUUAGCCCGAUGCGGAGGACGAGGACUGGACGAGUAGAGAGUGGUAAGCAGUGGAAAGUUCUAGGGUUUUAAACUUGUUUUCUCAGAGGUGCAGGGUUUCUGGGGACUUCAAACCUUUUUCCUUUUAAUAAGGGAAAAUGGCCAUUUUCUUCCCUAAAUUUUUUUUGUUUAUCAAUUUAGUCCCUAACUUUUAUUUUUAGCUAAUUUAAUACAUGAAUUUAAUUUUCGAAUUCAAUUAAGUCCUUCUACGGCGACGCCACCACCUAAAAGUAAUUUAGCUCCUAAUUUAACAUUAAACAAGGAUAUUUUGGGAAUUUUGAAUUAUCUCUUCUCCACUACCAGCCUCCGCCACCAACCACCCGCCUCCUCCUUCAUGAUCGGCGAUUUUGGAAUACAUUUUGGCAAUUUGGCAACCCUGGCGAGGCCCCUGCAAUCUCAAAACCCCACCAAUGAAGAUGAACCACCACCACCACUGCCACCCCAGCAGCUGCCCCUCUCACCACUACCACAGCCACAACCACCGCCUCAACUACCCCAAGAAAACCAACCUUCCACCUGCGAAAUUUGCAUCGAACCCAUAAUUUCACCAACCCAAUUAUUCAAAAGCCCAAACAAUGAAAAAUGCAGGCCCCACGCAUUCUGCAAAUUGUCAACCAUAACAACUAUAGUACCCAAGUUUUUCCAUGGCGGUAAAAAUCACAAAAGCCUCAAGUCUCCAAGAGUGGAAUCCCAUGUUUGAAAGAGAAGCCCAGCCACCUUAGGCAUGCAUGUUUAGAGUAUAAAUAGGAAUUCCCUCUUCCAGACUCACUGACACAAUAAGACAAAAUCAGAGCAUCUCAAGGAAGGCUGAAGAGUUAACGAAGGCAGAGGCAGCAGCCAAGUUGAGGGAGCAACGGCGACUAGAGGAGAAAGCUAAGGCUCUGGAGGCACUGGAGAGGAAAAAGAGGAUCGCAGAGAAAGCGCAAAUGAGGGCUGAAUUACGAGCACAGAAAGAAGCCGAGCUCAGAGACAAGGUAAGAAAUUUUAAAUUUCCAAUUCAUGUGCCUGAGUAAGUGUGCUUUUCUUCACUUGGCUUUCCAUCAAUGACGUCCGUUUGAUUUGUCUAGGAAAGGGAGAAGAGGUUGAGGAAGAAGGAGAGAAAGAAGGCCGAUGGAGCAGAAGUUCCCGAUGGAAACGAUAUUGGGGAAUGCACUCCAAAAUCUGAAAUCGUACCUGGAACAAUAAAGGAAUAUGAGGUUAAGUACUGUUUUCCUACCGUUACCAAAAGAUCUCAAAAACCAUCAGUUGUGGUGAAGCAAAGCAAGACAAAAUCUAUCCCUCCGCCACUUAGGAACAGAUGUAAAAGAAAAAUGCAGCAGUGGAUGUGGAUAAUUUUGACAUGCGUGGUUGUUAUUGCUCUGUUCUUGCUGGGAAACAUUGGCUUCUUCUCCAAUCUUUCAAAUUUUAGGCCGCGGAGCCAUAGUAAUCCCUCCGCGCGGUGGAUUACUGGUGUUGCUGGUAUAUCCAAAAUCGCCGAUCAUGAAGGAGGAGGGGGGUGGUUGGUGGUGGAGGCUGGUAGUGGUGAAGAGAUAAUUUAAAGUUCUCAAAAUGCCCUUGUUUAAUGUUAAAUUAUGAGUUAAAUUACUUUUAGGUGGCGGCGCUGCCGUAGAAAGACUUAAUUGGAUCCGAAAAUUAAAUUCAUGUAUUAAAUUGACUAAAAAUAAAAGUUAGGGACUAAAUUGACGGACAAAAAAAGUUUAGGAACGAAAAUGACUAUUUUCCCUUUUAAUAAUUACUCCUACGAAUUAAUGUUCUCUUUUGUAUUUUGUCUCGGAAAGAUUGCACUUAACUCCCUUGAAGUCCUAUCAGCAACAAUUUGGACCUUCCAUUCCAUGUUUACUCGAUUUGUACAUUAAUAUUUGGAUAACAUAUUGUGAAUCCAUUUAUCGAAAAGAAAAUAGUAAGUUAUUUUAUUUGCCACUUUUGACUAGACACUAGUUUGAAAACAAUAUAUAUAUGUAUAUAUAUUGUUAAUAUAUAUUUAUUAUUUGAUAUCUAAUUAGAUAAUGAUACGCCCAAUAUUACAAAAGCUAUGGUAUAAUGUUCUUUUGUAAUAUAUUAAAUUUUAAUAUUAAAGAAGUAAUAAAAUUCUAAAAGUCAUCAGAAUAAUGGAAAGCCAUUUUAGAAGCACAUAAAGAGUUUUAACUAAGUUAUAUAAAUAGAUCCCUUACUAGGAAUAUCACAAUAAGAUAUUUUAAAACAAAUCUUUUCAUUCUUAUUUGAUCAACACUACUUUUAAACUAGGUUAAAUAUCAUGAGUCGUACUUGAUGGUUUAAAAUCAUGUUAUUAUAUAAUAUUUUUAAGUUAAAAGUAUUUUUUUAUUUUGAUUUUGUAUUUUUUGUUGUAUUAAGUUAAAAGAGGAAAAGAAUCAUAAUUAUGAGAAGCUGCUAUUGAAAUACUUUUACAAAUAAUUGUAAGAAUUUCAAAAUUUUCAGAAAUGAAAUUAUAUACUUGAUUAUUGACUACUAAUUCUAGAAGCGAAAAAUAACCAAUAUAGUUUUUACAAAGAUUAUUAAAAGAAAUUGACAAUUUACCAUGAUUGACUACUAAUAUUGGAAAUUUUCUUUCCUUGGCAACAACUAAACUAUGGAUCAAACAUGGGGCCGAUGAGAAAAUCCUAUAAGACUAUUCUAGUGUAACUAUAAUUUCAAAAAUCAACGCGCAGUUUCUUCAAUUAUAAAAAUUAAGAGGAGCUCUAAUGUAAUUUACCCAAAAUAUUAAUUCCUUCACAAACGCUUCCAGAGUCGACACCAGACAUUGCAGAGAAAGAAGAAAUCACACAAAAUUGCAAACUUCAUCAUCAAAGAUGGAUAAGGUAAUUAUCACUCCUUACGGUUCAAUUUAUAAGGCUUGAUGAUUCUUUCCUCCUCUAAUUCUAAUUCUCCCUAUAUGACCCGAAGAAAGGUGAAGAAUUGUAAAAAAUUUUUUUUUUUUUUGCAGGGUCUUAAUGAGAUUAAUUAUGAAACCUCUGCAGAUUCAACAACGGUUGAGAAAUUGGAAUCACUUUUGGACGCAAUCGAGGUAGGUUUGCUUAUGAUUCUCUGGAACUUUUUAAUCAUUAGUUUUUUCUUGCUCUUUUUGUGCCAAAAGUUUGUAUUUGUCAAUAUGAAUUACAGGGUCCAAUGAAUUACUUUUUGGAAAGUUGCUUCUUUUGCAAUGUGUUAUGGAUGCACUUUAGAGCUAGUUUGUUUUAUUUCUAGCUUCUCGAUCUGAUCAUUCAAUAGUUGCGACGUUGAUAAUAAAUAUGUUAGUGAGUAAUAGUGCUCUUCUUGCAUUCUCUUCUCAAAUUUGAUAAUUUUUUUUUGUUUGUUUAUGAUCUUAUGACAAAAGUAUGAAAAAGAACAUAGACAAAACUGACUAAAGCUCAUGAAGAAAAUGAAAAUUAAUAAGAUAAAUAGUACCUAACACUUCACUGGUGGAUGCAGGAGUCAGGACUUUUUUUGGGGGGGGGGGGGGGAGGCAGUGGGACUCUAUGUUUGUCCUUUUGAUCUUUAGCAGGGCCGAAUUUACUUUUUGGUUGGAAGUAAGUGAGAUUUGUAGCUUUGUUUGGAAAUAACAUAUUCUUAAAUCCCCGGGGGGUGGGUUAUGGUCAUUUCUUAGUACGUGUCCGUAUGAAUAAACAUAUGGGUAUUUAGCUACAUGCUGACAUUUAUGCAUGCAAAUGUAGGUGUAUGUUGGUGUGUUAUCUAAUGGUUUUGUUACUUGGAAAUUGGAUUGCUGCAGGAUCUUGAAAGGCAGGAAUCAGAAGUCCAAUCCCGUUGUAUUGUAGAAUAUGCGAAAUUGUUGGCUGAGGUUAGUGAGCUCGAGGAUAUGCUACAAAAUGAUGUAGGAGGGGAUUUUGUGUAUGGCAUUCUUGAUGACAGUAUAAAUGAGUCUAAGGAGAGACUGAAUAUGCUGAAGAAGGUAAGCACUAAAUCCUUUGUGUCUCUCCUAGAUCUACAGCUUGAAAGGAUUUGAUAUUGAAAUGACAUUAGUUUUUAUAGAAAUUAUUUAUACUCGAAGCAGUCAUUGAAAUGCCCCUUUUUUAUAAAAACUUCUGAUCCUUUAAGUAUUUGACUUUAUGAUUCUCAGUAGUAGGUCACUAAAUUGAUUUUCUUGAAUGGCAUAAGGAUUGUGGUUGGUGACCAAGGAGUUAUAAAUAAUUGAAGGAGCUAUAGUGAAUUAUCUUUGAUAUACUACUUUAUUACAUAUGUAGGUUUCCCAGAGAAAGAGAAAUUAGUUUGGCCGAGGUGGAAACCUCACUCUUUUAAAGGUGAAAACCCAGACAAAUACCCUCAAUUUGGGUUGUUUUUUAUGAAGUGCAGUAGUUUAUCACCCUCUGCUGUGCCUUAUUGGUACUCUAGGCAUGCUUAGUUACUUAUUGGGAUCUUUGGAGACAUCGGAAACACUUAAAAUGUUGUUUUGAUUUUUGGAUUUCCUGUUUACCCUUCUAGUUUUCCUAUUUCUUUGCCUGUCAGAAUGUUUCUUUAUCAAUCAGCAUAGGGCCUUAAGUACAAUUCAAAGGGCAUAUUCGUUAGGAUUAUUAAAUUGUGUGUGGCAAAUUGUUUAUGAUCUGUUGGCAGGAGCUCGCAUCUAAAUUAAGAGCUAUCUUACUGCUAAGAAGACAGCUUGAUGACAUUCCCGUACCUGCUGAACUCCUCCAGUAUGUCAGUUUUUCAUAGCGGUAUUGCUUUAGAAAUUCAUUUAGCAAUUAAAGUGUCUUACUAUUAUUGCUACUCUCAAGAAUUUUUAUUUUUUGUCAUGAAAGCAAGGACUUCUCAUACAAAGAAAACCACUUUUUUGGCAUUCUGCACUUGCUGAGACCUGUUUGUGAUCGUUGAUUUGGUAAAGAAAAGUUUCAGACUAUUAACGGGUCAUGGUGUUCUGUUGUAGGAAACUAGGCCAUGCAGUAGUACAUUUUACGACUUUUGUUUCUCCGUAUAGUAUAAUAAUCCAAUAAACUUUAUUUUCAGGUACGAACUAUGCUUUUCACAGCUUUAUACCAGCAUUCAGGUAUGGACAUUUUCUGCAUGUUUGAUGCAUUUAAAAAAAAAAAAAAAUCAUUUAUUGGCAUUUAGCCACUAAAUUGUCGUGUCACUGGUAUUCUUCAGAAAAAGCUUCGACAAACUCGAAAAUACUAUGAAACCUUCAAUGCACUACUGGAGAUAAAGGAGUUAAUGCUAAAGGAGACAUCCUUGCUCAACUCCAUAAGUUCACAGGUAAAAAGAGUGGCAUAACCCUGUUUUCUUGUUUGUUUGGUUUGGGCAUGCAAUGAUUGUGUUGUGAGAUGUAAGUUGCAUUUGCUUCCAUUUUUUUUGUUUUUUGGGUACUAAAAGUAGGAGUAUUUUAUCCUAUAUAUUAUAUGGCUAAUUUAUUUGAUGAAUGUAAAAAUGAAGCAAAUGGAUCACUAUUGAUAUGAAAUGCUCAAGAACUAGAGCCUUAGAUUUUUCGAAAGCUCCAGCCACUCAGUUAUUCAGAGUUGCAUUACUGAACAAUAGGCAUUGAGAUUCAUAUGUUGGAACUUUUAUCUCUGGUGAUCAAAAAUGUUUGUACUAGAAUCUGGUACAGGCUUCCCUAUUAAUGUAGAAUUACUUUGCUUGAUUCUACAAGUGGGUUUCUUGGAUCCAAGAGCUUAUUUGGCAUGGUUAAGAUAGUAGGAGAACAUAUGGUGGAACUAAUGCUUGGCCUUUGAAUGGCUGACUGGCUGAAGAGAUUGAGGCCCUUUAAGUGGACUUGAUAAAUUUAAGUAGUUGAAAGGCAGCAUUGGUUGACAACUAAUAAGAUUCAGAGGUGACCUUGUGCUGAAUAAGAAGAGAAAGAUGUUUUCAGACAUUAACAAUGAAUGGUGAGUGGAGUUAUUAGGUGGAUGGUGAUGGAGGGAAGUUGCUAAGCCAAAAUUGUGAACCAAGGGACAAGACACUACCUGGAAGUAGGAAGAGAUGAAUGGAGAAUGAUGCUUGACAGUGCAUGGAAAGAGAAGGAAAUUGUUGAGUCUGUAAUAGGCCUUAAUAUGCAUUUUCAUGUCUUUCUCCAAGCUAUUUGCAUUCUAGAUGUUCACUCUUCUAAUGGUGUUCUAUAUGGAGCCUUUUCCCUGCCUCUUGUUCUGUUUAUGGAAUUCAAAACCCCCUCAUUCCUUCAUUUGGUUGUCUCAUUAGUCUGGUGAUUGCACAAAUUUAAGAAUUUUUUUUUUAUUUGUAAAAAAUGAAACAAGCUCCAUGGAUAAUUUGCUUAAACUAAGUCCUCUUUGCAACGUAACAUUGCUCCAGGUUGUCUUCUUAUUAUGGGCCUAUGUGUUCUAUAAUUUAAUUCUACCUCUUAAAAAUUUGCUGUGGAGCAUUUUUAGCCUAGAGUUGAAACAAUGUGUUAUACCUCUUGUAAAAAUACUGCAGUCGAGUAUGAUUCAAAUUCUCUUUUGUGUUUAUCUGUAUAAGACUCUUUAUGUGCAAAAGAACUUACUUUCUGAGUACAUGCUGCUAGGAGCCUUGGAGUUUGAUGGAUUUUAUUUAGAUUUGUCAAUGAAGGAAAACUUUUAUAUGUUGGAAUUUCAAAAUUGAGUGUGUUAUUGUACUCUUAAACUGUAAGCUUAACUAUUCUAUUCAGAACUUGAGAAACUUGAUUUACGCUAGAGCAUAUUAUUCUGAGUUCAACCAAUUUUAAUUGAUGUAGAGUCCUCAAUCUGUAAAAGUUAAACUCCAUCAGAUGCUGCAUGAAGACAAGGCAUGGCUUAAAUGGCGAAGGUGUCACUGUAGAACCACAAUAUCAAAGAAUUUUAUGUCUGUGGCAGAUUGGUCGAUGCUUUUGAUUUCGUUUUCGGGACAUCCGUAGUGAAGAUGAAUUAUAUGUGCCUUUUUUGCUACUUUAAGCAACACAUAAAAGCUAUUUUGGAAAGUCACUUUCUGUGGAUUGUGCUGUGUUAGGGUAUCAGGCCAACUAUUUGAGAUAUGAAAAACCAACAAUUUAAUAGAAAACAAGAACUAGCACGAAUAAUGAGUCAUACACAAGAAUUAACGUGGUUUGGCUUAAUCACCAAGCCUACAUCCCUGGAGAGAAAACCUGUUGUUAUUAUGAGAGAAAAUACUACAAGAUUACAACUUGAAUCCCAAACUCAACCCUUGUAUAACCACUCUCUCCUAUCAAGAACCCUCUCAUCCCUUUUCUUGUGUGUCUUUGUAGAAUGCUAAUCUAUCUAUUUAUAGAGAAUGUUACUUGGCCAAGAACCAAUAACAAUAGGAAACAACUAUGAAUUUCUAAACUUAUACAAAAUAGGAAAUAACUUGUCAACUACUUCAAGUAACUAAACAAUUAGGAAACUAGUUAUUUCCACACAAAGCAAGGAACCUGCCCAAAGAAAUUAAGCCAAUUUCUUAACAUGCUGUAUGAAUAUCUGCUGCAUAUGUUUAACAUGCUGACCAUUUUAAACUUCUGUGCUUGUGCAAUAUAUUGUCAGUUGAGUACUAUAUCAUUCUGGGAACUGAUUUGAUUGUUUAAUUUUUACACAAUUGAUAUAUUCUUAUCCUUCAUGUUUUGGUUGCAUGUAAACUUGAAUAGUUCCAAAAUGCCAUCACCAGCCCCACUGGCCGAACAAAACUCGUUGAUUCCAUGAAGGGCAUUCUGCAGGGGAUUCAGCAGGUGCCAGUGUUAUUAUUUUUCAUGCAUGUGAAGAAAAAAUCAAUUUAGCUUGUCUGUCUUACAAGUCAAUCAAAUGCUUCACAGGCUUAUAUUUAGUUGCAUUGAAAGACCUUAAUCAUUAGUGAACUUUCGAAUUCUUUAAAUCCAUCUUUGCCCAAUAAAAGAACUUAAGGUUGCAAAAAGCCUUCUCGGCUAGGAAAUAUUGCUCACAGUAAAGUUAUAAAGAAACAAAGAAACAUGAGAAUCAACAAAUUAUGUUUUCCUACUGACUUUGUUCAACGGAUUUUAGUAUGGGGAAUAUGUGCAAUCUUGGGCCACUCUGUGCUGCUUCCUUUAUUGCCUUCUCGGCUAGGAGCUUUUUUGUUUGUUAGUUUUCCUACUGACUAUGUAGUUUUCAUUUUAUAUUUCUUAUUCCAUUCAUUGUGAGAUUUUGAAGUAGUGAAGGGCCUUUUUGUAAUUUAACUGGCUAGGUGUAUUCUGAGACCUAUUGUUACCCUUUUUUGUGGGUACUCUUUUUUCCAAGUUUGAUCUUUCUUGCUAGUUCUGUAAGCAUCAUGGGCAUGUUCCUUGCCAAACUGAAUUUUGUAUAAGUAUCUUCAAUGGCAAAAGAGGUUAACUGUUGAGCACAGCCUGAACCUGAAGACCUUGAUAAUAUUUAACCCUCGUCGGUUUCUGAAACUUCAGUAACAUGGAAACUGUAAUGUUAUUUAACUUCUUCUGGUUUUAUCUGUUGGACUGGUUUCAUUUAGCCUACUUUUUGCAUCUCCAUGGCCUUUAACCGCUUGUUACAGAAAGAAGUGAAGAUGUAAGAAAUGAACACUUUAAUAUUGAAAUACAAAUUUAAGUGCCUAAGAUAUGGUGUACAAGGAUUUAGCUUUUUAUCUCUCUUGGCAAGCUGAGGUGAAAAGAAUUUAAUUGUCAGCUUUAGUUUUUGAUAGUCCAAACUUCUGACAGUUAUACUGAUGGGAUCUUUUGAAUUCAUGCUUUACAAGUCUCAGUAUGAGGUACUAAAUGUAAAAGAAGUACAAUCAGUGUAUGGGUACUUAAGGAACUACGCACUUUGAAUUUGGCUAGUCUCACAAUUUUUUGGGUGGCUAGGGUUAUGGUGCCAUUUAAAUAUGUCCUUGCUGGGAUUUAACUUGAUUGCCUGUAUUAGGGGUUCCAUGACCUGUAGAAAUCAAGCACUUCCAUCAUUUAUAGCUGGUUUUCUUUGCAGAAACUGGAAAAAGUGCAAUUAGCGUUCGAAUCUGAGCAAAAGGCUUGUGAGGCUCUAAAAGAGAAGCAUAGAAUAGCUAUUUCAGAGCAAAGACACUGCUACUCUCUCUUGAAGGCUUUCCAGGUGAGGAGUUGAAGAAAACCUUUCUGUUCUUAUAUAUAUAUAUAUAUAUAUAUAUAUAUGGCAACCUUUAUGUUGUUUUCAAUGUUGAAGAAAGUACAAAGAAUUAAUUGUACACGCUGUUCAAGAAUAUGCUAUUUCUCUUUAAGAUAUAGCUUUUUAUUAACCAAAAACAGUUUCUGUACAGAUCUUUAAGAUAUAGCUGAAUAGGAGGAAAUGACAUAUUUCACAAGGAUAGCUAUCGGAAUAGAAAAACCUCUGUUUGUUGCAAGUUCCAGACACACAUGGGUUAAAGUUACAUGUUAUUGGUUUCCAUGACAAAGGCAGUCCAGAAAAGUGGGAUGUCUUAACAAAUAAGAAUUGAAUGAACGGAAAAAUUCUGUCUUGACACUUGAAAUAGACUUUAGUUUUUCAAAAUUUAAGAAUUGCUGGAAAUAAAAAAGGAAAAGUAUAAUCUCUAUCUUUUUCACUCUGUCCUGUUUCCUUUUAUUAACUGUUUACGAUCCUGUGAUUUUUUCUAUUUGGGAACCAGUUUAACUUCUAAAACCAAUCAUGGAUAACUAAUUUGUCACUUGUAGCUUGGCAUGUCAGCAUAAUGUAUUUCCUCCGACUUAAAAGUUUUUUUUUUGUAAGAAAAGUUUAGGUGGGUUCAGCUUCGGUCACCACCACGGAUCAGGGCAUUACCCUUGGAAUCAUAGGUUGCUUAUAGGAUUCGUACAGAUUGCCCACAAAUAUAGCCCUCGCAUCAGCAGCGAAAUUCAAACAUGCAACCUUUUAUGAUAAAGUGACUCGCCCUUACGAAUUAAGCUUGUGUUGGGAACUUAAAAGUUUGUUGUUAGCUGUAAUGUUGGAAUUUGGAUUGAUCACAGUGGUGCUUUAGUGUACUACAGCCUUGAACAGAAGUUACUUAUCAAUCAAGUUGUCCAAUUUUUAGGAGGAAUGUGCAAGGAAUGAGAGAUUGCGGCAAGCCCGGACUUUACAACCAUCCUCAUGAUGCUGCACAAUCCUCAAGUGUUAUCUACAUGGAUUACAUAAUCGUACUGGGUGUGAUGGUCAAGUUUUGGAUUUACCUGACAGCUUUGAUUAGACAGAAGAUUGCGCGUGCUGCAUCUACAUUUGAUAUGACCAUCAUCUCAACUUGUAUAUAUUCCUUGACUUUGUAUACCCUAUUCUGAUAAAUCUUGCAUGCUAGCAUACAAGAUUUCUGAAAAUCUCACUCUGAUAUAAAUGAUUGUUAUUGCUUGUUGUGUAGUCUUCAUCAGCCAAUGCAAUCCCUUGGAGUUUACCAAGUCGUAGAGUUAGAUUCAGCUUAUUUAUUUUUUCCCUGUCUUGUCAAUUCGAAAGGAUUUGUAUAUUUGAGGUUGAGCGUGGUGGGGUCGAUUGGACUUGCAUUGUUAUUUGUUAGAAAUAAUGGGGUAAAAAUUUGAUAUAAGCUUUUCGCUGUAGGCCAAAAUUAGAAGUUCUUUUACCGUCAUAUAGCUAGAGAAUAACAAAAAUAACAAAUACAAAAAAGUGCAGUAGCAUGAAUAAAAGAUUAUUUUUCCCACAAAUUUGUCUAAUAAUUAUUUCAUCAGAACAAAAAGAAAAGAAAAAAAAAAGAGUUGUGCAAAGGUAAAAACGAAAGAAAAAGAAAGAAAAAAAAUUUGAAAAUGGCGAGCUUUUAGUUUUUGGAGAUAUACAGCUACUUAGCAAGCUAUAUGAUGCAGUUUCAAUAACACAGUGUGGCAAUCCAAUGUUUUUUGGGUAAUACAUCUUCCAGCAGUCGAGAAUGUGCAGAAAAAUGAGAAAUUGAUACAACCUACCAAAUUGAUUUGAGUAUUAAGGUAAAACAGUUGUAUGCUUGUUUUACUUUAUUUUUCACACUAAUCCAAUGGAACAAAGAGUGUGUUUAACAAUUAUUUGCUACAAAAAUAUUUGCUUGUAUCAUAAUAAUAUUUUUCAACAUACUUUUAUUUUUUCAACUACUUUUUAUUUGAUAUACAUUAUAUCACAAAAAGUAUUACAGUAAUUAUUUUAAAUAAUUUCUUUUACAAACACAUUUGAAAACAUGUUCAAAUGUGUUUGGUUGUGUUGUUCUUAUAAAGAAAAGGGUAAAUAACACUAACUUUCUUUCUAAUUUUUUGAAGUGGCUAAAUCCCUACCCCUCCAUGCGAAAUCCACACCUAUGCGCUUCUUGGACAAAAAUGGCCUUAGCUUUUAAGUUUAUUUGAUGCUUUUUUUAAUAUAGUUUUAAGAAACAUAUAUUUACAUGGCAAAAAAGGAAAAAAAAAAUGUUUGCAUUGUAAUAUGGAAUAUAUUGAAAGCACGUUCAAAUGUGUUUGGUUGUGUUGUUCAUAUAAAGAAAAGGGUAAAUAACACUAACUUUCUUUCUAAUUUUUGGGAGUGCCUAAAUACACACCCCUCCAUACUAAAUCCACAUCCUAUGCACUAAUUGGACAAAAAAUGGCCUUAGCUUUUUAGUUUUAAGUUUAUUUGAUGCUUUUUUAAUAGUUUUAAGAAACAUAUAUUUGCAUCACAAAAAAGAGGAAUAACAAAUGUUUGCAUUGUAAUAGGGAAUAUUUUCAAACAUUUUAUAAAUGUGUGAGAAUAUUAAUUUAUAAUUUCAAAUUUAUUCUAGCUAUCAAAAAUUUUCAAUUACUAAUAAUGAUGUAAAUAGCAAUGUCUACAUAUUUCAAUUCCAUAACAUCAAAAUCUAAGCAAUUUUCAAGGUGGAAUAUGCCUUCAUAUUGACUGCAUACUAAUAUUUACCAUUUGGUUAUGUGUAAAUGUUAAAAAAAAAAAGGUUUAACAAAAGAAAGGUAGUAAAUCAUAUAUAAUAGGAAAGAGGAGCAAAAUUAAAGCAACUUUAGAGAAAGAUAAAUUUUGAAAUGAAACAAGCAAGAAAAAUGAAUUUGUAUAUAAAACUUACAUAAAGAUCAUGGUGUGAAUUUUUUGCUCUAGAAAAGAUAUUAUUAUAUAAACUUUUAAUUUGAUUUUUAAAAGCUAAGGGUAUCAAUGUCUAACAAAUGUAUAGGGUGUGGAUUUAGCACAGAGGAAUGUGGAUUUAACCCUUCUCUUUUUAAAAAAGUUAGGAAUCUCCUCUCUUAAUUUCAUAAUAGUAAAGAUCUCCCUUCCAUGUGUUCUUCAUCCAUAAUCGUCACUGAUAAAUGCAAGUGGACAAAUUUACCCUUGGUUUUAUUUUUCUCUUUGUUUCAUUUUCUAAAUUCCUUAGUUCUUCUUUAUUACUUUUUUUCUUUGGGCCUUUGGCUAUCUUUCCUAUUUUUCAGUUUCUUAAAACAUCCAUGCCUCUCAUUCUUUGUAGUACAUUGUAGAAGCUGACUUGCAUAAUAGUUGAUUGUUGUAUGGGAAAGGCAUCGCCAAACAUGAGACAUAGUAGACCAUGAUAGUUAGCAAGGCUAAAAUACGAUGAACUAAUACAAAAUUUUCCUCUAAUUAAUUGGAACAAUUGUUUGCUUAUAAUUAUUCUAGCAGAACUUUUCUACAACUGAUAUUAUCUAAGAGGAGGUGGCCUGGGUAAAUUUUGUGCAGCGCUUCUUACAUAAAUCUACAUGUAUUUGCUUAAACAUAAAUUUAUAUGUUUUGGUCUAAUUUCACUCAACACUCAAGAUAAAAUGCAACUGAUAAUUCAAAAUAUUGUUAAAGAUAAAAUGUAAGUAUUUCUUAUCGUGCUAUCCACAAAAAGGGCAUUUUAGGAAAUAUAUGGAGAUAUUUGCUGAAUGUGUAUCGACUCCAAUAGAAAGUUAACAAAAGGGGUGGUUUAUGAUUUUGUCUAACAAACUAGGGGAAGGUUUCUAUUAUUUUUAAAUUAAGUAGGGGUUUUUUAGUUUUUUAGCAGAAUUGGUGGGAGGUUGGUGUAAAUUGCCCUAAAGAAAACUAAGUGAUGUAACAACGAUAGUUUAAUCAAAUUUUUUUUAACAAGAAAACAUUGCAGUUGAUAUUGUGGUAGGCGGUUCAUGAUUGGUUUCUUUUUAGCUUCAUAUGAGGCUACUGCUACUUUAAUGUCUUCGGUUGGAUAUAUGCAAAUGGUUAUCUGUAGGAAAGGUCUGUUUCGAGUUGAAUUAAUUUUAUGUUCAAUUUACUUUAUUUUUCGUAGUUUUUGUGCAAUUAACUAUCCUUAAUUUAUCAUCAUCAUCCAAAGCUUCUGUUAUCUUUAAUAAUCUUGUUGAUGUAGACAAAACUGAUUAGAGGUGCAAUGAUAUUGACAUUUGCUUACAUCCAAAUUUCUAUUUAUUAUGGUGCCAAUUCUUGUGGAGCACGCUUCUACACAAUGAAUCCAUUUGAUUAUUUUUACCGACAAAACCGUGCUAGAAAAUGGCGCUAUCCAUAAAAAAAAACACUAAUAGUAAGAUCAGGUAGAACAAGUUGAUAAUCAAAAGAAAUUACUGAAUAAUUGAAUAAAAUUGAUAUGACUGCGAUGGAUAGUUCAAUACUGAAUAAACGAGCAUCGUCCCUAGAUGGAAGAAGGUUCUCUUUAAAAAGUGAUUUUGUACCAUCCGUUAGAGUUAAAAAAAAUUCCUAAAGCGUUAUCUCUAGAGGCUAGGCUUGGUACUCCCUUCUUAUUUUUUUUUUCUCUUCAUGAGCUGACUUCGCUCAUAUCAAGUUCUUGUUUGAUCUGCUGCUGUUAGAGCACCACCAUACUCAUCUGUUUAGGGUUAAUGCUCUCAAUGAUGAAUUAUAUACAUAAAUAUAUGUAUGAUUAAAAAAUAAUGAAGAAGAAGAAAAUACCACAUUUUGUACCUUUUGAACAUAUAACACGAUUAGGAGAUGAUUGGCUAGACGGCGUGUUUGGAGUUUUUCAAAGUGUUAUAUCUUGCCAUGUAAAGAGAAAGGCAUUACCUCCAAGCCUCUACCAUAGGAUUCAACAAUGCUGAGGAAAAUAUUUAGAGAUCCAUACAUGAUUUAGCAUAUGUUAUGUGUCCCUUGAUGAUGACUGCCAUGGUUAUCUGUUGUUAAUUGACAAUAUAUAUUUAGUUUACUCUAUCUUCAAUUUUGUUCUCCAAUUAAGUGUGCUUCUUCAUAACCAUCCAAAACUUCUUUGUAUCAUCAUCUUUAAUAGUUCCUUGAUGUAGACUAUUACAGAUUGGUGGUGCAAUGUAUUGACAUUUGUUUGCAUCCCUUCAAUCUUUAUUAGCUAAAAUCAUGUGGAGCAUGCUGGUACAAUAUUAAAAAUACAAAAAACCCAAAAUAAUAUAGUAUAAAAUCAAAAAAAAAAAAAAAAAGAUUUCACGCAAUGAUAGAUUGGAUGCAACAUAAAAGGUUGGUGUCUUCAUUAGCCAUUGUCGUUAUUUAUGGAUUCUUGCAGCCAAUGUUAUGAAAACAGAUUGGCAACUUUGAAUAGUUGGGCAGCGAAUCGCUCAUGGCACCAUACGAUUUCAUAUUAGACCCAGAAGUUGAAAGGAUUGAACCAACUUCCAGUAUUUUCUUUAAUGGUCAUGUAUUAUCCAUAUCAUUUAACAUCAAAAUAAAUAAAAAAAAAAUGAUCUGGAACUACAAUUUGGAAGUUCAAUAGGUUCACUAUUUAAAAAAUAAUCAUGAAAAUUUUUUGUUUCGUUAUCAAUGUGUUAAGGGUUUUUAGAGACAUUACUCAAAUAGACAUGAAAUUUUUGGUGUCAUUAUCAAACCCUGUCCUUUCUCGUAUUGGCUUGAAAAUCUUGGAGUAUCUAAUAAAUCAACCAAAAGAAGAAGAAAAAGAGUUAGAGUUUGUGAAUUGAACUUUACAGAUUAAUUUAACUUGUUUUAAGCUAGUUUGAUUUGUGAUGGAGAGUUCCUUUCGCUAUUGUCAAAUUUUUCCCUUGCCCUCGUUUUGCGAUUUCAAACUUUAUUCUAGCCUUUGGUACUAAAGAAAAUUGCCAAACUCUUUAAGUAACUUUCACUUCAGAAACAAAAAAAAAAAAAAAAAACCUUUGGACCCUUAAAACCUAGAUAUGUUCCCACGUUAGUCCUUAAAUUUUAAAUAAUGUAUCCUAUAAAGUAUCAAAUUUAUCUCACUUUAAAACAUUUAUUAGUAGAAUUGUUAAAAAUAAUGUAAUAUUAGGCAAGUGACACUUGACGUAGAAUAAAACUAUUCCACUAGUUUUGAAAAUUGUGUAAAUGUUCGAUUGAAGUAGGGCAAAUUUGAAACUCUAUUAGAGGUAAAGAGUCCAAGAAUGAACUUUAAGAACUAAAGUGGGAGGUGUCUAUAGUUUAAGAGACUAAAAUGUAAUUUAGCCAAACUAUUUGGCAGGCCGUCGUAUUGAUGCGUAAAGAGUCUUCUUUGAUGCGUAAAAUGGAGUUUAGCCAAACUCUGACAAAAAAGUCUACUACCUUUUGCCCAAAACAAAAAAAAAAAGUCUCCUUUGAUGCGUAGCCUAUUAGUAGUUCUUAAAACUACGCCAAGUUUCUCUAUGCCCAAAUUAUUUCUCUGACCUGAUUAACUCUGCACGAUUAAUCAUAAGGGCUUUCUUUUGUUUUAAACUAAAAAAGAUAACAAUAAUAGUAAUUCAAUUCCAUCCAAAGAUGUGUUCAAAUUAACUAGUGGCCGUAUUACCUACAAAUAAUAAGAAAGCCACAAGAAAGGAAAAUGCAAAAUGAUUUUGGUGAAACUCGAACUUGACCUUUUUUCACAUCAAGAUAAUAAACCAUUGGGUCGGUACAAGGAAGAGCUUUUAGAGUCUUUCCCGUUAUCAGUUUCAGGAUAUAAAUUCUGUACGUGACAAUUGAAAAUAAGAAGGGUGUGAGGACAAAACAAAAAAAAAAAAAGUCAGGACAAUAGAAAAUUGACAAAUUAGUACUUAAAUUUAGCUGACAAUACGUCUUUUCUCUCAUAUACACCAGGUGAAUUAACAGUCUGAGCUAUGUAUGGGGAGAGGAUACACUGUGGUUUCCACUUCCUGUAUGUUAAAACUGUUUUCUGAUAUAUCCAGAGACUUGUAUCAAGAAUUGUGGUUUACACUAAUUACACAAUUUAACCAUAAGAAUACAUGUCAUACUUUUCAUCUUCGAGGUCCAAAACAGCUGCCUAAUGCAAACUCCAAUAUUCUGGUCUCCUAAUGCCGACAAAAGACACUAAGAAAAUAGGCAAAUUUGUUUGUUUUGGACGUAUUAUGCAUGAUUAGACAUGAGUGAAAUUCGACUUAAAAGUACCUUUUUAGUUAUUAAAUUCAAGCUAAUGUGUACUCAAUCCACAUGCAGCAGCACCGGAGAGCUAGCUUUGGGAAUGGGAAGAGAUUCUCCAACGAUGAAUUAGUAGCUGGCAUAUAUUCUCUAGAGUCUAGAUUAAAUAAGUGUUUUGUUUUUUAAUAACUUCAAUGGUGUAUUUAAUUUUUCGAAAAUUGUUGUGUUCUUGGUAGCAUAUUUUACUUGCUCUAUUUUUGUGCUGAAGUUCAUGAUUAUGAUUCUUUUGAAAAGAGGACAAGAUUGGUUCUUUGAAAAAAUGUAGAAAAGGCAGUGAAAUGGGCAAAUUAUGUAGAACUGGUAUGGUGAAUUGUUUAAGCUUUUUAUUGAAAAAGAAUUGAAGUUAUUGAGUAGACCAUGCUAAGUUCAUAGAUACUGUAAGUUAUUGAGUAGACCAUAAUCUGAAUUGCUUUACAAGAUAAAUGCUUUAAUAUUGAUUACAGAAAAUGCAUGCUAGACUAUACCUGUUUACUAGUAGUGGCAGAACGACAUGGUGUUGAGGGUGAGCAAUUAAUUGCCCCACCUUAACUUUUAAAAAUUUAGAGAAUAGUCUUGAAACUUUAUAAAAUUUUUAAUUUUUACUAAUACUUGCUUCCUCUUAAUUUUAAAAAACACUCUUUUCUUCUAACACUAUCCUCUAUAUUAUGAGAAGUUCUCAUUUGCCUCAGAUUACCUCCCUAUGCAAUCUAUUUAUUUUAGAUAUCUCUUCUAUGGUACAAAUGUUCAAAAGUUAUUAAAUCACAAAAUUGAUUAUUACUUAAAUAGGAAAUUAUUUCAAUACUUUUACACUACACAAAAAAAAAAAACUCAUAAUAAAAAUAUAAUCUUUAUUCAAUUUUUUUUCAUACUAGUGACAGCAAUUUGUGUGUACAAUAUUGCCUCCACUGGUUAUAGGUCCUGACUCCGCCACUGUUUACUAGGAUCGUCUAGCAUGGCAGAAAGUAUCAGGAGUUCACUAGGUUUUUUACCAAACGAAUAAAACAGAUUACAUAUGUUUCAGGAUUGGGCAUAUGAUGUCAUUUUAUUCUGAUCACAGAAAGUGCAUCCUCCAUAUGCUUGGCCCUGAUUUGAAGAAAUUCCUUCACUGUUAAAGAACUAUAAAUGGGACAUUCAGACUUAGCAAAUGGUGCAACCUGGGAAUCAGUUGGAGGAAAGCAGAAGUAGGCAACAGAAAUCCUGUGCCUAAUCUGGUUGACAAAAACACGAUGCUGAAUGCUAGGGAACUUGCCAUUAGACAAUAUAUCCAUAAGAUUACCAAGAUUGACCACAAGAGCUCCUUCAAUGGGUGAAACUGUCACCCAUCCGAUUCCGUCACGAAAAAUCUGCAAACCCUCAUGACUUUGAUGAAGAACGGUCAUGAGCAUUGAAUCUGUGUGAGGGGCUAAACCAAUGGUACUUUUGGGAUCUGGGCAGGCUGGAAAGGAAUUGAGUUGCAAUGCAUCUUGGGACAUUGAUAGUUUCCAGUUCAGUUCAUCUUCAGAGACUUCUAGCCACUUCAACAUUAGGAGCAAGAGUUGGUGUGCCAAGGACUUCAUCAUCUUUUGAUAAUUUUCCAUCACAUCACUAAAUGUAUACAUAAGCAGGAAAUAAUGAUUAAUUAAAACGCAAUCAUUUUCGCUUACACAGUAAUCUAAUAGUACUAUAGUUGAAUUAAAUUUCAUUUUGCAUACUUGCAGUUUAGUAUUUAAACUACUUAAAGCGUUCCCUAACUCUUAAACUUAAUCAUUUUAUCCAAAACUAUGCCCCCAAACAAAAAAAAAAAAAAAGUGCAACUUAAAGUCAGCAAGCGUGGGGAUGCAGUUUUAAUGCGCUUAGAAGGGAAAAGAGUUAAGACAAGGGGAUUAGGAAUUUUUUUUUUUAUUCAUCUUUUGAGUUGAUUUUGAUAAAAACGGAGAUGGAUGAAAAAUCAAGGGAAAUAAUGUAUUGAACCUCAAAAAAAAAAUCAAUUGAAAGGAAUGAAAUAAAUUCCAGUACAACCUUAAUUUUCAUUUAAGCAGGCAGUACAAAUUUGUCAGUUUGUCAAGGUGCAUGAAAGUGCAUGGACAAUUACCAAAUACUACCAAAUAAACGGACUUACCAAAAAGUUUUGUGGUCAUGGGGCCAAAGUACACUAGCGUGCUCAACAGGAGAACCUGCAAUAGUGAACCCUUCAUGCCACAAAUAUUUGGUCAAAAACUGUGCCAUCCGGGCAGCACCGUAGCCGGUGGCUCCGCCGGCCGAUCGUAAGACCUUCAGCUUUUGCUUGGUUGGAAGAGAAAAGAGUCUUCUAGCCUGGAACUCAACAUCAUGAAUAAGGCUGGAGGGAAUACCAUGGUUGGUGAGUUGAAAAACUCCCCAUGUUUCACAUGCGUGGCCAAUGAGUUCCACUACAUUGGGAGCCAUGAGAUCAAUGACAGGGAUCCAUGAUUUUGAUUUUUCAUUAUCAUCAGAGGGGAGAAUAUGAUCAGAUAAUGGAAAAUUUUCUGUUUCUGGCCAUAUAUGUGAUUCUGGAACCACUUUUGUGGACUCAAAAUCCAGAGGAAUAACAUGUUUGAGACGCAUAGGAACAUCUUUGUACGCUUCUGAAAGUGUACCCAUGAUAGCUACUAUGCUACUAGCUAGACAGCCAGGCUUGGAAUAUCAAUUUUAGCAAAGUCAAGAUACCAUAUAUAUAAAUAUAGGGCAGCGAUGCAGGAAAUAAAAGAAUAAAAAAUAAAUUAAAGGAAAAAGAUACCACAUAUAUAACAUUAACAAUAAGGUGAGCUAGUGAACAUUAUAAAGUUGUAAUCACAAGGCUUGAUAUCCUCUGUCCAACUUGUCCAAGUAAUUUGUUUAAUAGGAAACCAUAUCAUCUACUUUACAAAAUAAUUGAUGACGUGUUUAACUUUGGUUUUUGUCAACAUACUAUUAUACUUUUUCUUUUUUGUAGGGAUAAGUAAGGCUUUUACAUAUCUCUUGAUGACUUGAACCAAUAACGUGUCUAACUUAGGUUUUGACCAACAUACUAUCAUAUUAGUGUUUUUAAAAAUAUUUUUAAAGAAAUGAUUAGAAUAUUCUAAUAACUUUCUUAAUGACUCGAACACGUGACUUAUAGUUAUAGAUAAAGUAUUUUACAACCUGAGUCAGUAUUUUAUUGUCACAUACUAUUCUAAUAUCUGUCAUGGCCUCAGUUAAUUGAAUUUAUGGAAGUAUCGUUAAUAGUUGCACCACAAAAUUAGGAUGUGAGAAAGGGUGACUUUUCUGAGGUGUUGGUCUUUUGAAAAAUUAAAGUGAAAUACAAAAACUAUUAUAGGAUACAAUGAUUGUGAAUCACAUAGGUGAAAAUUAAGUUUAACAAUGACUUAGAAAAUCUAGGUAAUUGAUUUCGUUCUCUUCAUUUGCCUAAUAAAAAAGAGUAGAAUUCCGAGAAAAUAUUGUCUAAAAUCUUUGGUAGAUUAUGAGAAAAUUCGGGUAAUUAAUUUAGAGUAAAUUUUAUAUAUACUAUCAUAGUUAGAUGGAUAACACAUGAUCAAAUUUUAAAUUCAAAUUCAAAUUUUACACAUGUGUUAUAUCUAAUGAUGAUAGUGCAUACACUGACAGUGUAUAUAAAAUUAAUCCAGUAGAACCGUAAAGGGCAAUUGUAUAAUGUCUAUUUAAUUAACAUAAAAAAGAAAAGUUGGUGGUCAUACUCUUCUACGUACCAAGUUAAUUACAGGAGCAAAGACAGUGCAGAAAUGAAGCAUUUGAUCAAUAAUUUGCUUUAAGAAAUAAAGAUAUUUGAUUAAUAAUUAUCUUAAAAAACACGUGGCCUUGGGUGGCUGUAUUGGACUUAUAGUUGUCUUUUAGUGUGAAACUGACAUGGGAAUUUCAUUUUUUUUAACAGUAUAAUGGGUGGGUUGAAGUGGACAAAAUUGAAGAACGGACAAAACAUGAAGAAAAGGAUGUAGAAGAGAAUAUAUGCCAGCUACUAUCAUAUUAGUGUUUUUAAAAAUAUUUGUCCUUGGGGUUGAGAGGUUGUUGGGACGGAGGGGGACACAGAAGGAAUGACAGGUAAAGUCAUAGAACACCAUUCGGAUGUGGUGGAGGAGGUGACCCGAGGGAGGGUAAGAUUAGAGUUGGCAAAGGGAAACACAGACUCAACAAAACGGACAUGACGAGAGGUGUACAAUCGGUUGGAGGAUAUAUCAAGACAGAGAUAAGCACUUUGAGUAGAGGAACAUCCAACCAAGAGACAAGGAGUUGAUUUGGGUUCAAGUUUGUGAGAGGUGUAAGGACGGAGCCAGGGAUAGCAGAGGCAGCCAAAACUUCGAAGUUUAUUGUAGUUAGGGACAGUGCCAAAAAGUUUAAGGAAUGGAGACUCAUUGUUGAGAGUAGGUGUCGAGAGACGAUUUAUAAGAUAUACGGCUGUGGAAAAGGCAAAGGACCAAUAGGCCAGAGGCAUAGAUGCGUGAGAAAGGAGAGAAAGUCCAGUUUCAACAAUAUGACGAUGGCGACGUUCAGAAUAGCCAUUGUGUUCAGGAGUAUGAGGAGGAGAGGUGAGAUGAGAGAUGCCAUUGAUUGUUAGGAAGGAAGAGAGGGCCUGAUAUUCGCCACCAUUAUCAGAGUAAAGCGUUUUGAUUUCACAGUUGAAGAAUUUUUCAACCAAGGCCUUGAAGGAAAUGAAAACAUUACGAGCAUCAGAUUUGCGUUUCAGCGGAUACAGCCACAUAUAUUUUGUGAAAUGAUCAACAAAGAGAAUAUAGUAUUUAAAGUUGUCAAUGGAGUACACAGGUGAAGUCCAAACAUCCGUGAAGACAAUUUCAAGUGGAGAAGAAGUGAACAAGGUAGACACAGAGAAAGGUAAUUUGUGACUCUUAUUACAAUGACAAGAAUUGCAAUGAGAGUUGAGAGAGGAAGAAUUUGAGACAUCCAGAUUGAAUGAUGAGACCAUGUGUUUGAGUGUCGGUAGUGAUGGGUGACCAAGUCGGUGAUGCCAGGCAGGGUAUGUGGUCUUUGUUGUGGAGAAAGCAAGCAAUGGUGAUGAAGCCGAGGAGAUGGGCCACUCAUAGACACCAUUUUUAGUUUGGCCUUGGAAGAGCAUGGCUUUCGAUUGAAGGUCCUUCACAAAGAAAGAUGAUGGUAAGAAUUCAAUAGAGGCAUUAUUUGAUUUGCAGAACUGAGAAAUGGAAAUUAAAUUACGUUUCAUGGUUGGAGCACAAAGGACAUUAGAAAGAGUGAAAGAGUGAGAAGAAGUAGGCAGAGAAGUUGAACCCGUGUGUGUGAUAGGAAUGCCAGAGCCAUCUCCAAUCAUGAUUUCAUCUGGACCAGUAUAGGGGUUGUGAAAGGAGAGGUUUUGAAGGUCAGUUGUAAUGUGAUGCGUAGCACCACUGUCCAAUAGCCAAGGAUCAUGUGAUGGGGAGUUUGAGGUAGCAACAUGAGCUUGAGCUUGCCAAGGAGGGGGUGCACGAAGUGGCGGUGAACUGACAGCGCGUGAUGGUGGUGAAGCAUGAGGAAAUUGUUGGCGGAAGAGAGUGCACUGAGGGACCACAUGACCUUGACCACGGCACCACUGGCAUUUGCCCAGAAAUGGACGCAUUGGUCGGUUGUAGUGGCUGGGAGCGGACUGCAAGGUUGGAGGACGAGCAGGCCAUGGUGGGUGAUUGCCCGGUGACCGCUGAUUUGAGCGUUGUGUGUGUGUGAGGUGGGCAGAGGCUGGAAAACCUGGUGAGGAAUUGCGCAAGGACAGCUCUUUGUUGAUGAGUUUUUCAUGGAGUUCAUCAAAGGUGAUGACCGUGUCGCGGCUGUUGACUGCAUCAAUGACAGAUUGGAAUGUGUCAUCAAGGCCGUCCAAGACUUUCUCAAUUAAGUCUUCAUGAUCAAGUGGUUUUCCAAGGGUGGCAAGUUCAUCAGCUUUGGUCUUGAUGGCUUGCAUGUAAUCGGUAACAGAUUGUGAUCCUUUGGAGAUGUUCUUCAGGUUGUCCUUGAUUUGUUUGAUAUGUCCACGAGAGGGACGAGCAUAGGUGUUGGCGAGGGCUUUCCAAGCAUCAUGAGAUGUUUUUGACUGAGCAAUGAGCGGAACAAGGUUGGGUGACAUCGUGCCCACCAGCGCGCCAAACAAAAGCUUGUCUUGUCUCAGCCAUGUCUGAUAUGCCGGAUUGGGGGAAGCUGCAUUGUUGGCAGUGAUGGUGGCAGGAGGAGACGGCUGCGAACCGUCAAUGAAUUUGUGCAGGUCAUAACCUAUGAGAAUGGCUUCGAUCUGAGUUUUCCAAGAGAGAUAAUUUGUGGAGGUAAGUUUGAUGGAGUUGUGGAUGGUGAUCAAGGUUAGAGGACUGUUUGGGUCAUGAGUAUUUGGGAGAACAACCUGAGUAUUUCCAGUUGCCAUGGAUGUUGCAGAUCAGAACCUAAUCUCGUAUGAGAUAGGCUCUGAUACCAUGUAGAAGAGAGGUGAGGAAGAAGAGAGGCUUGCAUAUAAUGUUUUCCCCUACCUUUCCUAGCGAUUGCCUUAGUAUUUAAACACAAAAUACAGCCUAGAGGAUGUGUUCUGUUACAACAGAUAUACCUAUCGGAGACUAAUUCUAAGCAGAACUAACUACCAGAAAUCUAGGAGACAGAGCAUCGGUUAUGUUAUCUUUUCAAAGGAUUGGAUAUUAAGAGAUAAUCUUAAAUUAUGUAGGCCACUAGACUGGAAUAAUACAAGGUUAAAGGAAAUAUGAUAUUCCAUCAGCAUCAAAUUUUUUUUAUUAGACUUCCCUUUUUUUUUGGAAGAAGUUGUUUUUCAGUUUUGAAUGUGUUUUCCAAAUAUUCAAUUUUCCAGACUACUUUCAUUUGUUAAUCAUCUUUCACCACAGGUUUAAGAGUACAUGAAGUUGUAUUUUUGAAUAUAUUAUCUUUCUUUAGACUAAUUUUAUCUUCUAGAGUUUUAGAAAAAGAAUAAUUGGCAAAACUCUUCUUUUUCAUUUGGAGGAUUUGGUGAAAAACUUUUAGUUGUGGUUUAUAAUCUGAAAGAGCUCAUAUUGAAUGUUGUGCUGAAUUCAGAUAAGAUACUAACAUUUUAGAAUCAAAUUCUUCAUUUAAGUUUCAUAUUUACUAAUUAAUGCAACAAUUUAGGCUAAGAAUAUCAUUUUGCAUUCAGCAACACAAUUAAAUAUUGUAAGACAAAUUUUGAAAAUUCAAAUGUUUAUUUAUAUAGAUGAACUAUUGUUUCAAUUAACUAUUCAAAAGUAGUUUGAGAAUGGAAAAAAUGAUAUACUAUAUGUAAAAAUUAAAAUGAGCCAAAUUUUGAAAACGAUAUGUAAUAUAAAUAUGAAUCAAAAUGAGAAUUAGAUAGGAGCACUAAACAAAAUUUUGUAAACAUUUAAUAUAAAGUAAAGGUAAUUAACCAAAUUAAUGAUGGCCGAGGAGGCCUUGGUCUAGAUGUUGAGGUUGAUACUUUAGAAUUUAGAGAUUUUCGCUUUUAAUCUCCCUUCCCUCUCUCGACUUCUUAAUUUCCAUCCUCCCUUGCUAUAAAAAAAUAAAAAUACAAAUUAACGGUGAGCUAAACAUAAUAAAAAUUGAAUCUAAAAUUAAUUUUGAGACCAAUAUAUAGUCUAAUAGACCGAUGCAUAUAUUGGAGCAAGAGCAAUAAUUAAAUUAAAAAAGAAAUAAGUGUCAUAAGGCGUGAUUAUCCAAAUUUUAGUAGUAGUAACUUUUAACAUAUAAUCAAGACAAAUUAUCAUAAUAUAAAACAUAUAUGGAAAGAAACACACACACACACACACACACACACACACACAUAUAUAUAAGAAAACUAUAAAUUGAUUAAUAAAAAGAUUUUGUAAGACAUAAUUACUACGAAUGUAUAUAAAGCAGAACUAAUAAAUUGAUUGAAGGUCACUAUAAAUAAGAAAGUGUAAAAGGAAGGGAAUUUGCUGUUAUAAAAAAAAUAGAAGCAGAAUAAAAAAUAAAAAUAGAAACUCAAAAGAUGUCCACAUGGUGAAAAGAUUGAUAGAUUGUCAAUUUGGCAUUAGGCUAGAAUAGCUAACUCAGUAACCUACUAAUAUUAAAACUGAAUAUUGUUAUAUAUAUAUAUAUAUAUAUAUAUAUAUAUAUAUAUAUAUGAUACAGAUAUUUUAGUACAGCUAAACACAUAUGCACUAGCAGUGCGAUUCAAAACCUUUUCUUUUAAUUAAUUUUUCCUUCCUAAGAUAGUUAAUACAACUAGCUAGUAAUAGUACUAGUAUUUUUCUUCAUGUUAUCCAGCAAAAUUAGUAACCCUUUUUGGUUUAAUUCUCCAUGUACAUUAUAGCGUCCAAGUAUAUAACUGAAACAUUCUUUUCCCCACGGAGAAAUAAAAUUGUUAUAAUAACAUUUUGCGUUUUUAUGAGUGUCUUAAAUCUCAGCAAACACAACAAAUUGUGUGUACAUGAUCAAAUUUCAUUCCAUUCAUCCUUAAAGAUCACAUUUUGUCCUAUGGAAUCAGACAUUACAACAUGAUUUGCUGGUAGAAAUUUGUCCGCUAGAUAAACUUUUCCAACAUCAACUUUUCCUAUUUUGUUCUGUGAUGAUACGACAAAGAGCAAUUCCAAAUUAUAAGUUGAUCCGAUCCAUAAGGGAACUAAAUUUUGUAAAGGAAUGAGACCAUUCGGCCAAAGAAUGAGGAGCAAUGAUGAAAGAAGAUGAGGAAACAACAAGAAAUUUGCUAAUAUCGUAGCCAAUAAUCUGAUUUAGGGAUUAAUUAAACUUCAAUUUUGGAGCAAGUAUUAUUGGCUUAUGUCUGCAUUAUCGUAUUUGCCAUAGUAUUUGAAUAUACAAUCACAUAAUAUUAUUGGUUUGUCAAUUCCAAUAAAAAAAAUCUCUUUCUAAAAUACUUAAACCCUUAAGAUACUCUUGGUUUGACUCAAUUUGUUCUUUCCUAUUCAUGAUCUUUCGUUCUUGACUCUUUAUGUAGUUCUAUUGCCAUAAACUUAAUGAGUCUGAAUUCGUUAACCAACCGUUAUAGACCAUCUUGAGCAAACUUUAGUUUCUAAGAAGGAAGACCAUCCUUCUACUCGUACUUAGUGUGUUUGGAUAGUAGAUUAUUUGGGAUAAUUUUGUGAAAAAAAAUACUAUUGUACUUUUUUUAAUAUGAUAUAUGUGAGAUAAAAAGAUAGUUGAAAAAUGUGUUUAGAUAGAGUUUGAUUUUCUAUGAUCUAUAUUUAAAUCUAGAUCCAAAGCAGAUCAUACUCAGACCUAUGCAUCAAUAUAAUAUAUAUAUAUAUAUUAGUAAACUUUUAAAAUAAUCUAAUAUAUAUAUAUAAACUUUUGGGGAAAAGGAGAAAAACUAAAAGCAGACAAAUGAAAGAUUUAAUGUAAAUGGAGAUAAAAUUUUGAAUAAAAAAAAUAGAAGUAGUUGAUAAUAGUUCUCUCUUUGAAUUUAUAAUAUUGCAUUGAACUUCUUGAACUUUAAUUUUAUUAUUUGAAAAAAUUAUAUGGUAUUUAUGUUAUUUUUGAACUUAAUAUAUUUUUAAAAUAUUUUUAUUUUAGUUUUUCACUUUAUAAAAAAAAAUAUCUACGAAUACCCAAAAUCGUAAGGGUCCAGAUCUGGGUUUACUUUUUCAGAUCCAUUAAGAUUUGGGUGUGAAUCUGGAUCUAGGUCUAACUAAAUUUAAUGAUUUUGGAACUUGAUCAAAGGGAUCCAAUCCAAAUCCUACCCAUUGACAUGCCUAAUUUACACUAACCGCUAAUAACUUUGGAUAUAUAUUAAGGACCAAAAGAUGUUACCUAUAUUUGUGAAACAACAGUGCCAUAAAUUUGGAAAUGCGAAGGGUUAUCUUUGCAAUUUCUCCUUAAUUUUAUGCAGUUCUCUCUAAAAAUUGACGAAAUGACCACUUGGAAAGGAGUAUAAAAUUACCUGAUCAUGGCUUUACAGUUUAUUGAUUUGAAGAAUACAUGAUUUCAUGUAGAGAUAAAAUGCAACUCCAAGAAAUAUCAGUGGGAAAGACGGAAGGGGAAGGAGUUGAUUACAUUACUGGAAUGUCAUUUUAUCCUUUGUUUGGGUGCUUGCCCCUUCUACAACUAACAAUCCAAGUCACAAGUUAGGCAGUCCUUAAGGGGAAAGGUAAGGGAAAUACAGCUCAGAAUGUUUUUGAAAGCUUUAUUUGAUGUAUCUUUUUGUUUUUCUUUUUGGGACGAGAUUGGACCCUGAUGUAAUCCAUAAGAGGCAACGGCUUCCAUUUCUGGAAACAUCACAUGAUAAUUAGUCAAUUUAUAAUCGAUAGAUUGGCAUAUAGCCCAGAAAUCUUGAAGAUUUACAUUCUGCUCAAGUAAAAUAACAUUGUAAUGCAAAAGUGGAUGGCAAGCAGUUCAAAGUCAAUGAACAAAAUACAGCCUUAUCCCUGUUGCAGGUGGUGGUAGCACAUCACAACAACCCACACUGAAAUAAAAAUGCUGGGCUUGAAACAAACAACUUUUGCUGGUAAAUUCUUUGAGACACAAAAAACCAAUAACUGUUUUCCUGUUUGGUUAUGAAUCAUAAUCAUAUCAGUCUAAUGCAAAGCAUAUUCUUUGCAACUGCCAAAGAUCUUACUCUAGAAGUUUAGGUUUGAUGAAUCAAGGACCCCAGAUGCUUGUUAUUUGGCAUUGUCGUUAAUCCCUAGCACUAUGGUGGGUGGACUCAAAAGCAGCAGCAAUCAGAUGAAACAAUCAAUUAUAAGAAACAUGAAGCUUAAUUAGACAAAUUCCUAAUUUAAAUUUACAAAAUUAUGUUGGAAUUAAGUUGAAGGCGAGCAAUUCUUUGUACUAAUACAGCACUCAAGAAUAACUUAUGCUUGCGAGUGCAUGGAGAAUUUGCCUUGCAAAAGAUGAUAACUGAUGGUCAAUUGGACUCCUUAAUGAAGUCUCUGCAGAUGACAGUUGCUUGUAAAUACCUCGUAUGAAAAUGUUGAAAAAUUGAGGCCAAGUGCAGUAAAAUUGCAGAAGAACGGAGAGAUUGAUUUCAUCCUUGAAGAAGAACUAAACUAGUGAGGCCAAGGCAAACGCAAAUCCACAUCAUACUUCAUGUUUUUCUUCAGCACAAACAUCAGCUGCAUGAUUUGGAGCUUUUGCAUCCUUUUUCAGCAUUUCCUCCCGCUGAGUACCUGAACAAGAUGUCCCAUAUAUCAGAGGGAUUCUGAAAAAACAGAAGCAUUUUAAGAGCGUCAACAUGAAGAAAUUAAGAAAAGGACUUUUUUUUUUAAUAUACAGAAAGAAAGUUUGUGCCAUAGAAAGGUCUUUGUACUGCCCCAUAGAGCUAAAGAUAAGUCAGCUAGCCCAUUUGAUAAAACAAUCCCAAGGAAGAACACCCCAUGAGAGUUACUCUGCCAAAAUACACAUCUUACUCAAUGCCCUUUAUGAAGACUUCACAUUGGUUAUUAGAAAACAACUGAUACACAAGAUGCUAAAAUGGAAGGGGAUGAUAAUUCUCACCAGAGCUUAAUUCAUGAGAGGAGUUCACCCGGACUGACGAUUUCCCAUGCACUUCCGGCUGUAAAACUAAGCUACCUGUCAUGCCUGGGUUGCUUUUACCACUUGGUGUGCAAUUUUCUCCCGUGAAUGGCCUUGAAGUGGUCUUUGGCAUGAAGGUUGUUGACCAAGAUCCCCCACUGGAUCCCGCUAAGGCCAUUAUAACAUCUGCCUGAUAUAGAUUUUGAUGUCAGGGUUCUCAACAGCAUCAACUUCAUAUAUAUACCAAGUGCAAGCAAGAGAAUGCAUUCUAUAACCAAAAGUUUUACUACAAAGCACAUAUAAUGGCCAAAAAAAACCCACAGACAUCUAAGUUCCUACACAUGCUACUUUCAGUGGAUCCCCGUAAUCAAGAACCAGAAAUUAAAAAAUUGAACUUUUUCACGGAUGCGUUACCAUCUAAAAUGUUCCAUCCUUUAUUGGGAGGAAAGGUUUUAAAUGAAAAGCAAAAAGUAAAGGAAGUCAAAGUCUAGGUUCAUAAGGCUGUCUAAUACGGGCCACUAUUUCUUGGGAAGAAGGCAUAAAACUUCUAUAAUAGGAUCAAAAGUUUAUUUGCACAUCAGAUGCACCUAAUUUAUUGAUAAACGCAAAAAUCAAGAAAUGAGGAUGCUCUGACCCUCCAAAAGGACAAUGGAACCUUCCAAAUGUUUUUCUGUACCUUUCUCUGCAGAAGUGCACCACAAUGCACAAGCAUAAAAAAGAGGAAGAAAGCCAUUUCAGAUGAAAACAAGACAUCUUCUCACCCACUUUCCAUGUUAAAUAUGUUUGAAAAGCAGGGCUACCCUCUGACUCUCAUCACCCCCCGGUUUUCCUUUCUUUAACGAUGACUUAUCUGCAAAAGAAAGAGGGAGCACUUCUUUCCCUUCUUUUUUCAAAGAAAAAAGGCAGUAAAAGGAGAUUAUACUCUCAGAUGAGACUAAGCAGCCACUGAUCAUUCCGACACGCCCUUGACCUAUCUUGAUUAAGACCAAAAACCUAUCUAAAGUGGAGCAUUGUUUAAGCUGUCAAACAAAUGUGGGCCAUUAGCUAAUCUGUUUUUUUCUAUUUUGUUUUCUUUUUUGAUACAGAAGCACCACUACAAGCAACAAACAAAUGCAGAUAAGAUAAUUUAUUUUUUCUAUAUUGCAUACUUGAUAUAGCACUGUGUUCAUAAGGAGUGACAUUAAUUAUAGAUGAGAAAACCAAACUAUAAGGAGGCUGGAUCUUUUGAUUAAAAAAAAAAAAGAAAAUCAAACUGUAGAUUUGAGAUGGAAAUAACCUUCCAAGAGCUACAUGUUACAAAGACAGAUACAUACAAAGGUUUGGAAAGAACAAAGACAUAAGGUUGGUAUUGUUUUUAAAUAAUUACAGUACGUAGAGACUGCACUGUGUAAGAUAUGAAAAUUAAACUGGAAAGGAGUUUAGAUGUUUAUGCCUCUCACUCACCAGAUCAUGCUGUGGCACUAAAACAUUAAAUAGUCACUAUAAUAACUUAAUCCAAUCAUGGAAAAGGGUGUUGUAGAAUCAUCCAACGCCCAUUCAAUUUCGUAAGAGGUUACUUAAGUUCCUAAAAGGGAGAAGGCAGUAAACUUCUGCAUGAAAGAUCACAUACAUACAAAAGAGCAUUUGGAGGCAGAGGAAAUAACAUGGUUCAGCAAAGGUUUGUCUCCAUCCACAAAAAUAAGGUUGCUAACUCCACUAUUGACAUGUGCAAUUCUAAUCCUAUCUUCUCUAAAUACCUUGCGGAGUCCCAUUGAUCCAUCUUUAAGCAAAUAGAAGUAAUCUUAAAUUAAAAUCAGAUUUGAAUACCGAAAGAAUAUAAUAUCAACUCAGAUUCUAAUUGCAGCUUAAAAAUCAAUCUUUUCUUUUAAACUUUUAACACCAAGAAUAUGAAACCAUCCUCCAAAAAUUUGCAUUUAAAACCUAAACAAUACCAAAUUAAGUGUAAAAGGACUAGAUCAAUAGGAGUUUACAUUAAAAGAUAUUUCUUAUAUAGUAUUAAGGUGGAUAAAGAAAAGAGAGCUAUAAACUGGAUAUACUAAUGCAAGAGAGACUUGAAAAUAGUCCAUAUAAUUUUUGAAAAACGAAUUAAAAGGAUUUAGCAACUUUGAAGAUGCAGCAAGAUUAGAACCAAAAUCAAAGAGCUGGAAAUUUGGAGGUCCUGCAAUCAAUUUUUCCUUUGCAGCCCACCUCAAGGACCAAGUACCACUUCAAAGAAAACAAGCACAGGGCAGGACAAUGCAUAGACUAGCUAUUACUUCAAAUUCCAAGAUUAAAAAAAAAAAAAAACCAGCUUUGUGCGCUCAGGGCUGCAGGGCCAUAAUCUUCCAGCAAACCCUGUUUGGUUGAAGCCCCUUGGACUCUGAUCAUGCUUUCUUCAGGCACAGUUACUGGAUUGUACCUCAAGCUCCUAUCAACUUUCAUUUUUACCCAGCCAAAGGCUAACAUUUGAAGAAAGUCAGACACCAAAAUACUUUAUGGUCUUAAAACCAGAAAUCCAGCUAAGCGCAGAGUUAGAGUAACAACUGAUAUAGGUUGAGUUAAAAGAUUGUGGAAAUUAUGUACAUAAACAAGGUAACAAAUCUAGCUUAUGAUUUUAAAAGGUGCAGCAUCACUCUAUUUGAAAAGAAACAAUCACUAGAUUUCCUUUCCAGUUAGUUAAAUACCUAACCAAAUGCAAGGUUACUUAAAAAAUGAAGAGUGAUGCUGCAAGGUUGAGUUAAAAAAUGAAGUCAACUAUACUUUUCUUGGCCAUUUUGCCUGCAAAGCUAUUGACAUCCAUAUGGAAUGGAAUCUAAUAAAACUUUGUUAAUAAUGUAUCCAGGGGAAAAUAUUUUUUAAUACAGAGCAGGAUAGAUUAUUAUACAUGUGGUGAUCAUUACACAAAGACCACAUAUCCCAGUUUGAAGUCUUUUCUCUGUAAAUUUUAAACAUCACAAUCACCAUAAAAUAUGAUGAAUUUGAGUAUUCGUCAUCCAAGUACAAAUGUUGCAAUCCAGUUAAAGCAGCUCAGAUCC
RNAcentral lists this long non-coding RNA (63946 nucleotides) under Coffea arabica (coffee). RNAcentral describes it as "long non-coding RNA (CARA_LNC006057)". The record is from RNAcentral. Lineage: Eukaryota; Viridiplantae; Streptophyta; Magnoliopsida; Gentianales; Rubiaceae.